GUCGGCUUACAAUCGCCACUUCACACAAUACAUAAAUAUAGCAUACAUCAUCCAGGAUACAAUCAAGGUCCAACUACGGAACCAAAAUAAAGAAAGACAACCCCAAAUGAUAGAUCCCCGAUCGCCCCAACUGGGCUCCUCUACUGAUCAUCCGGAAAAGAAACAUAGUAACGGCCCGAAUCCUCGUCGAACUCCCACUUGAGUUCGGUAGCGUCCCCUGUACUGGCAUCAUCGGCACCUGCAUCUGUUUGGAAGUAUCUCUGAGUCACGGGGACUAAGCAUUCUCACACCCUCGUGAUCAAAACUAUUUAAGCUUAAAGGUAGGAAAGGUAGUGAGGUGGAGCUGCAGCAAGCACUAGCAUAUAUGGUGGCUAACUUACGCAAAAGAGAGCGAGAAGAGAAGCAAAGCACGGUCGAGAAGCUAAUAAUGAUCAAGAAGUGAUCGUGAGGCUACUUAUGUUCAAGCAUAACACGAUACCGUGUUCUCUUGCCGGACUCCGCCGAAAAGAGACCAUCAUGGCUACACACGCGGUUGAUUCAUUUUAAUUAGAUUAAGUGUCAAGUUCUCUACAACCAGACAUUAACAAAUUCCCAUCUGCCCAUAACCGCGGGCACGGCUUCCGAAAGUUCAAAACCUUGCAGGGGUGUUGAGGGAGUCCUGGAUUAGGGGGUCUCCAGACGGCCGGACUAUAUCCUUUGGUCGGACUAUUGGACUAUGAAGAUACAAGAUUGAAGACUUCGUCCCGUGUCCGGAUGGGACUCUUCUUGGUGUGGAAGGUAAGCUAGGCAAUACGGAUAUGUAGAUCUCCUCCCUUGUGACCGACUCUGUGUAACCCUAGCCCCCUCCGGUGUCUAUAUAAACCGGAGGGUUUAGUCCAUAGGACACAUACAAUCAUACCAUAGGCUAGCUUCUAGGGUUUAGCCUCUACGAUCUCGUGGUAGAUCAACUCUUGUAAUACUCAUAUCAUCAAGAACAAUCAACCAGGACGUAGGGUAUUACCUCCAUCAAGAGGGCCCGAACCUGGGUAAACAUCGUGACCCCUGCCUCCUGUUACCAUCCGCCUUAGAUGCGCAGUUCGGGACCCCCUACCCGAGAUCCGUCGGUUUUGACACCGACAUUGGUGCUUUCAUUGAGAGUUACACUGUGUCGUCGCCAUAAGGCUUGAUGGCUCCUUAGAUCAUCGGUAGCGAUGCGGUCCAGGGUGAGGUUUUCCUCCCCGGACAGAUCUUUGUAUUCGGCGGCUUCGCACUACGGGCCAACUCGCUUGGCCAUCUGGAGCAGAUCGAGAGCUACGCCCCUGGCCAUCAGGUCAGAUUCGGAAACUGAAACUACACUGCCGACAUCCGCGGAGACUUGAUCUUCGACAGAUUCGAGCCCGUGUCAGGUGCGCUGCACAGUCACGACGAGCACGACGUAACUCUGCCGUCGGACAGUGUUCAGGAGAUCGCAUCUGUAACUACUUCGACCUUCAAUCCGGAGCAAAUUGCGCCAUCCAAGGACGGAGGGAUAGACCCUGCCAUGGAGGCCGCACUCUCAGUGGCGAUGGAGCCGGAUACUGACUUCACCCCUUACGAGAGUCGUGUCGCCAAACCACUGGAUUCGUCUCCGGCCACGGACUCCGAGCCGCCUGCAUCCGUGCCCAUCGAAUCCGACUGGGAGCCGAUCAUGGAGUUCACCUCCGCGGAUAUCUUUCAGCACUCGCCUUUCGGCGAUGUGCUAAAUUCAUUAAAGUCUCUCUCCUUGUUAGGAGAACCUUGGCCGAACUAUGUCCGGCUAGAAUGGGAUACGGAUGACGAAGAAAUUCGCUGCCCGCCCACCACCCACUUAGUAGCCACUGUCGACGACUUAACCGACAUGCUCAACUUAGACUCCGAAGACAUCGACGGCAUGGACGAAGAUGCAGGAGACGAACAGGAACCAACGCCCACAGGGCGCCGGAUAGCCACUUCAUCACAUGACAUAUACAUGGUGGAUACACCCAAAGAAGGCAAUGGCGAAGAGACAGUGGAGGAUGGCCCCUCCAAGAAGCAACCCAAGCGCCAACGUCAGCGGUGCCGCUCUAAGUCCCGCCAUAGCAAAAACAGCGAUAACAACGCAAGAGAAAAUAACACUCCAGUCGAGUCUAGAGGAAACGACGACCACAUUGCCCCGGCGGCAGAGCACGAUAAAGCUGCAAGCGGCGAACAUAGUACGGAUCCGACGUCCGAACAUGGCGACACUGAGUAUAAACCUCAUCAAACCCCCUCUGGGGAGGAAAAUAGUCCGGACGAAGAUGCACACAUCAUCCUGGAAACGCACUUGGAGCAAGAGAACCUCCGCAGAAGGCUUAUUGCCACAGCGAGGAGUCUGAAGAGGCAGAAGCAAAGGCUUAAGGCCGCACAAAAUACACUCAACAGCAGGUGGAACAAAGUGCUCGACAACGAAGCAAAGUACGGUGGAAGUUGCCACACAAAGAGCUAUCCAAAGCACAAGUUGUUACCUGAAUUCAACGACGAGGCCUUAGAGCCCACACAGCCAAAAAAUGAAACGGCCAACCAGCCGGAUCCACCACCUUGUGACCGCGAUAGAGCGGAUAACAAAUACGCACAUAAGUCAACACAUGAUGUACGUGAGGACUUGCGCCAAAAAUCCGGUACGACCAGAUCCAUAAAAUGGAUCUAGGAAGCAUGCUCCGGCACAAAAUCAAAACCAAAUACCACAACCAUCUGAACGCCAUGGUACAUCCAAGUACAGGGGUGCCGCACACCCCCUAUGUUUCACCGAUGAGAUGCUGGACCACGAAGUCCCAGAAGGAUUCAAACCAGUGAACAUAGAGGCGUAUGACGGGACCACAGACCCUGGGGUCUGGAUUGAGGACUUUAUCCUCCAUAUCCAUAUGGCUCGCGGAGACGAUCUCCAUGCCAUUAAAUACUUGUCGGUCAAGCUUAAAGGACCAGCUCGGCACUGGCUGAAAAGCCUCCCCAAAAAUUCAAUUGGAAGUUGGGAGGAGCUCGAGGACGCUUUUCGGGCUAAUUUUCAAGGAACCUACGUCCGACCUCCGGAUGCAGACGAUUUAAGUCAUAUAAUUCAACAGUCCGGAGAGUCCGCCCGAAAGCUUUGGAAUAGGUUUCUCACCAAGAAGAACCAAAUCGUCGACUAUCCAGACGCCGAAGCCUUAGCAGCUUUCAAACAUAGCGUCCGAGAUGAAUGGCUCGCCAGACACCUCGGCCAAGAAAAACCGAGAACAAUGGCAGCUCUAACAAGUCUCAUGACCCGCUUUUGCAUGGGCGAAGACAGCUGGUUAGCCUGCAGUAGCACCAGCGACCCAAGCACAUCCGAAGUCAGGGAUGGCAAUGGAAAACCAUGACGCAAUAAAAGCAAGCGUCAAAAUAAAGAAGAUAGCCCAGAUAAUACGACGGUAAACGCCGGAUUCAGGGGCUCUCAACCAGGUCAGCGGAAAAAGCCUUUCAAAGGCAGCAGAGAUGGACCGCCUGGCCUAAACAAGAUUCUUGACAAACUAUGUCAGAUUCAUGGCACCCCCGAUAAACCUGCAAAUCACACCCACAGAGAAUGUUGGGUCUUCAAGCAGGCAGGUAAGCUCAACGCCGAACACAAGGGGGGGAGACACCAAGCGAAGACGAGGAUGAGCCUCGCCAGCAAAGCACUGGAGGACAGAAAAAAUUCCCACCAGAGGUUAAAACAGUCAACAUGAUCCAUGUGACGAAGAGGAGGAGCAAACAUGCACUCUGAGACACACGCGCCAUAGAGCCCGUCACCCCUAGGUUCAACCCCUGGUUGGCCUGCCCGAUCACUUUUGAUCGCAGGGAUCACGCGACAAGCAUCCGGCAUGAAGGUUUGGCGGCCUUGGUGUUAGACCCAAUAAUAAACGAAUACCAUCUCACAUGAGUCCUCAUGGACGGCGGUAGUGGUCUAAAUCUGAUAUAUCAGGACACAGUCUGCAAAAUGGGGAUAGACCCGACAAAAAUAAGCCACCGUACUACUACCUCCAAGGGAGUAAUACCAGGCCUAGAGGCCCGUUGCACAGGCUCUCUAUUACUAGAGGUUGUAUUCGGUUCUUCCGACAACUUCCCAAGCGAAAGGUUAACUUUCUGCAUCGCUCCAUUCCAAAGUGGCUAUCAGGCACUACUCGGAAGAGCGGCUUUUGCUCGUUUUAAUGCAAUCCUGCAUUACGCUUCUCUCAAGCUUAAGAUUCCCAGUCCACGUGGCACCAUCACAGUUAGCGGAAAUAAUGAGCGUGCUCUACGCGCGGAAGAAUGUGCGGCGGCUUUAGCCGCCCAGCACUAGACGACCUCACCAACCAGGAAAAAUGACAGGUCAUCAAGACCACGGACACGGUUAGACGAGUCCGGUGCACCACUACAUAUACAUGAGAUUGGUUUGAUGAUCAAACCCUCCUAGAUGGUACCAGGGGCUUCCCGCAUGUAAUCAGGGCUAGUCCGGCUCAACUUGACUUAUCUUGAAUUUUAAUGGUUUAUUGAUAAUAACCAAUUUUCUGGCACGGCAACUUUCACCUAAGUUCUUCUCUUUUACAGAUGACAAUCGUGCUACACCCAUCCAGGACACGGCACAACGGAGACACAGGCACAGACGUGCAGCAGGGACCCGCUCAAAGGUUUCUUUUUAGAUUAAGACCCUGUGUAAACCUUUUUUACUGUCUCUUGUUGUUCACAUCCUCCGGAUACUCAAUACAACCGAGAAGGAUGCCGACGUAUUGGCAUGUGGCCACGUCAGGAUAUUGCACGUACCUGGACAUCCGUGGUUUAUUAUUAAGGGCCUCGUUUAGCCCGGCAUAUGUUAUAAAGACCAAAUACCUUAGGGAGUGUUCGGCGUCGCGAGUUUGGCCUUAUAUGCAUCAGCUCCGAAUCAUGUCUUUGGUCAAAUGUUGGGUUUGCCCGGCUCCCACGUUUUGGUACCUUACAUUCCACUAUAUCGGCUAAGGUAGCACUGGGAGAACUACUACGAUUGUGCCCUGGUUCAUCCAGAUGAGCACCUCAGUAGAGAAAGCCGAAAACUGACUGUCAUGAUAAAGCGCGAGACUGGUCAGCCACUUGAUAACUCAACGGAAUCUUCAGGAUUCCUCCGCAUUAACGAAGGGCCCUUUCCCGGUCAUGUACGUACGCGCCCCAUAUUCGGACAAGCGCAGAAGUAUCAGGGGCUAUAUAGUAGCCCCACCGUCAAACUCCUAUGGCUAAGUGAAAGUGUUAAAGCAAUAUAGUCUGAUUGCCUCGUUCACUGCGCUACCACCUCCUUAAUGGACCAAGACGUUGGAUCAAGUGUGAAUAUGCGUUUUUUGCGAACACCCCCGCAUUAUAUGCGUGGGGGCGGAAGCCGACGAUUGCAAACUUUCAGAUUAUAUACAUAUCUACAUAAACGGCCGCACAGAAGGCAUCAUAAUACUUUCAGGCAAAAGUAUAAAUAUAGCCUUGAUAGCUCAAUAAAACAUUAUUUUUACAAUGGGAGUUCAUGUCACUAGAACAUAAUAUUCUUUGAGCACUGAGCCUCUAUCGAAUGAGCACCUUCAAGAACUUAAAAGUAGUGCUCAGCAGCCACUCGACCCACGGCCGAACCCUGUGUUGCAACAGUGGUGGCCUCCAUCUCCGCCCAGUAUGCCUUGACACGGGCAAAGGCCAUCCGCGCACCCUCUAUGCACGCCGACCUCUUCAUAGCAUCAAUGUGCGGCACAACACCAAGGAAUUGUUGCACUAAACUAAAGUAACUAUUCGGCCUUGGCCCACUCGGCCACAGAUGAUCCACAACAGACCUCAUGGCAAGUCCGGACAACCUAUGGAGCUCGGCCCACUCAGCCAUUUGCUCAUUCAACAGCAGCGGACGCACUGGAGCAUGGAACUGUGACCAGAAUAGCUUUUCCACUUCGCGAUCUUUUUGAUCCUCGAAGUACUCGGCCGCAUCAGCAGCGCUUGCCGCCAAAUCCACGUAGGCAUCCGCAGAACUCCAUAGUUGAUCAAGAGGUGCAUACUUCGGAUCUCUGAACUUAGUCCGCAACAAAAAGGGCUUCCCAGCUGCGAUAUCUCCAGCUUGAUGCAGCUCCUCCUUCGCCGCUCGUAUUUUGGAACGGGCUUCCUUGGAUGCUACCAUGGCCUUCUCCAGGUCCGUUGCCUUCACACGGUUUUCUUCUUCAAGAAGCUGGUAAUGGUCGGCGGCAUCUUUCAACUCAACGGCCAUCUUGGCCAUUCUUUCCUUGCUCUGGCAAUGUGCGGCAUGUUCGGCCGUCAGCUCUUCGACCGCCUUUAGAGCGGCCGCAUCGCUAUUUCUGGCUUGCUCCUUGGCUCGGGCAAGUUCCGCCCGAAGGGUCUCCACUGUGGCAGCUCCAUCUGCAGUCACAACAUAUUAAAGAUACUGGCAUCAUGCUCCUCUUACUAUGUGUUGAUCACCGGAGAAAUCGCUUACCCUGUGCCUCGUCAAGCCGCUUGUUGACAAGCACGAUGUCGGCAUCGGCCGCAUCAAGUUGCCGCUUUAGCUCGAAAAACCCAUCAGUCCGGCUAGCCACCGGAGCUUCAGCCACCUGCACAUAAAGGCGGUCUGGUCAUUACCUGGGACUAUGAUCCUCUGUUUGCCAUUGUUUUCGACGACAACCAGAGUCUCAGGGGCUACUAUCUGCAUAGGGCACACCUAACGUGUGCGGUACUGUCAAAAACAUACACUAUUUCACGUACCUCAAAGCCUUUCAGCAGACUCAUUAAAGCUUCAUGCAAUCCGCUUUCAGCGAAUGAAAUCCUUUCAAUUACCAUACCCAUUAGCAUACGAUGCGCUUCUAAGAUGGCCGCUUGCUCCAGAAGAUCCUUCAGUGCGUCCGACCGCACAUUGUACAGUUCCGGACGCUUUCUGUCGCUCUCUUUAGGACCCGAAUACUGAGGACUCCGGGUGGCCAAGGGAUUACCCCCUGGCCUUGGCAGAUCAGGAGAAACCCUCCGCGAUGACACUUCAGGGUCGCCCGCCUCAUGAGGCAGGGUGGCAGGGGGAGGUGUUUCGCUCUCCAUCAUCUCCGGAAGAAGAUCCCCCGAAGACAAACUCUGUCGAGAAGGGCUACGAUCCGAACUACAAGAUAUAAGCUUCGGUUAUUGUCUUCAGAAGUAAGGUAGGAUAUUUUCACUACAAAGUACUUUUCGAUUAUUUACAGCUCGGUAGAGGGUUGAUUCCCUUGUGGACAAUGUGCGGCAAGGGUACCCCAGGUAGGACCCUCUGGCGAAGAUUUCUUCCCCCGUUUGUAAACCUCUGUUUCCGGAUCUUCAGAGGUAGUCCUCUUCCUUCCUUGGGGAGAGGGAAUGUCAGAUUCUUCUCCUUGGUUAUCCUCCUUCGCUGAGGUGCUCGUUCCCCCGGCUGGGAUGAGUAGUGAGUGAGGCUCGCUUCCAGACUCUUUAUUCCCCCCUUCAUCUUCCUUCGGGGGCACCUGAUAAGGCGUCGACUCCAGCAUUCUGUCUAGUACUGGAUUUGCCAAGCCCUCGGGAAGGGGGGCGGACACCUGAUCAUCUUUGCCUUUGUUAUCCAGUCCUGGUCAAAGAGCGACUUUUCAGCAUGAUGUUGUGAUAAAUAAGAGAAAUAGUGUGUUCGGCCAUGGGAUUACUUACUUGGGUAUCCGGGCGAUUACAGCUUAGACCCGCGUCCUCGGUGGUGUCCGGACACUUUAUUUGUGGUCCGAAGAACAACUUGUACAUCUCCUCGGGUGUCAUGCCAAGGAAGUGUUGAAUGAUUCGCGGUCCCUCCGGGUUGAACUCCCACAAACAAAGAGGUCUACGCUUCCAAGGCAGGACCUGCGAACUAGCAUGACCUGCAUCACUGUGACCAGGUUGACGUCUCUCUCAAUAAGAUCUCGGAUGCAACUUUGCAAUAUCGACACAUCCUUUACUGGACCCCUGUUUAGCCCCUCACUGAUCCAUGACGUCCAUUGUGGUGGGGGGCCUGAGCAAAAGGCAGGGGCGGCUUCCCACUUGGCACUCCGGGGAGCUGUGAUAUAAAACCACUCCCGCUGCCACAAACUGGACACCUCUGGGAAGGAACCCUCUGGCCAUGGAGCAUCAACGCUUUUGCUUAUUACGGCACCUCCGCAUUCUGCGUGCCGCCCCUCGAUCAUCUUCGGCUUCACAUUGAAGCUCUUGAGCCACAGGCCGAAGUGAGGGGUAAUGCGAAGGAAGGCCUCACAUACGACGAUAAACAACAAGAUGUGAAGGAGGGAAUCCGGGGCCAGAUCAUGGAAAUCCAGCACAUAAUAGAACAUGAGCCCCCUAACAAAGGGGUCCAGAGCGAGGCCUAGUCCUCGGAGGAAGUGAGAGAUGAACACAACACUCUCAUUGGGUUCGGGAGUGGGGAUGGCCUGUCCUCAGGCGGGCAGCCUGUGCGAGAUUUUGGCAGUCAGAUAUCUGGCUUCUCUUAGCUUCUUGAUGUCCUCCUCUGUGACGGAGGAAGGCAUCCACUGACCUUGGAGGUUGGAUCCGGACAUGGUUGAAGGUCCGAAGCACCUGACCUGAGGCUGGCGUGUUGGAACUCGAGGUGGGGGAAGGAUUCGAUUGAGCGCGAGAGGAAAAAGUGACAGGUCUUGGCCUCUUUAUAAAAAGGGUGAAUGUCAAGCGUCCUCCUCGCGGUCGUCUUGGACUCGCCUAAAAUCGAGGAGUUACCCACGUCCGUAUUGAUGAGAAUCCCGUAAUAAGGGGGACACGAUCUCUGCUUCAACAAGACAUGUCGAGAAAACCGCCUCGCGAUAUGUGCAGUGCUGGUUGAGAAAAACGGUUCGAAUAAUGACCGGGCCAUGACGUAACGUCGUGCUGUCAAAACGCGUCAGCAGAUUAGAUUUGUGGAAAUAUUAUUCUCUCUACGGUGGUAGGUGGAAAUUAUUUUGCAGGGACGGACACUAUCCUUGUGUUCAAAAUCUUCCAUGGAGUAUUUGGAGGAGGAACCCGCCAUGCAAUGCCGAAGACAAUACUGCGCGCCGGACUCAUCGUCAUUGAAGCAUGGUUCAGGGGCUACUGAGGGAGUCCUUGAUUAGGGGGUCUCCGGACAGCCGGACUAUAUCCUUUGGCCGGACUGUUGGACUAUGAAGAUACAAGAUUGAAGACUUCGUCUCGUGUCCGGAUAGGACUCUCCUUGGCGUGGAAGGCAAGCUAGGCAAUACGGAUAUGUAGAUCUCCUCCCUUGUAACCGACUCUGUGUAACCCUAGCCCCCUCUGGUCUAGAUAUAAACCAGAGGGUUUAGUCCGUAGGACACAUACAAUCAUACCAUAGGCUAGCUUCUAGGGUUUAGCCUCUACGAUCUUGUGGUAGAUCAACUCUUGUAAUACUCAUAUCAUCAAGAACAAUCAAGCAGGACGUAGGGUAUUACCUCCAUCAAGAGGGCCCGAAUCUGGGUAAACAUCGUGUCCCCUGCCUCCUGUUACCAUCCGCCUUAGACGCACAGUUCGGGACCCCCUACCCGAGAUCGGCCGGUUUGACACCGACAGGUGUCCCAACUUAGCCCAUCACAAGAUCUCACGAUCAACGAAGGAUAUUCCUUCUCCCGAGAAGACCCGAUUAGUCUCGGAAUCCCGGUUACAAGACAUUUCGACAAUGGUAAAACAAGACCAGCAAAGCCACCCGAUGUGCCGACAAAUCCCGAUAGGAGUCGCACAUAUCUAGUUCUUAGGGCAACACUGGAUGAGACAGGCUACGAGUAAAACCAACCCUCGAGUUUCCAUGACGUGGCCCCGCAGGCGGCUCGGUUCGGACCAACACUCAGAGGAGCACUGGACCGGGGGGGUUUAAAAUAAAGAUGACCCUUGAGUCUGCAGAACCCAAGGGAAAGGUAUAUGGUGGUAGGUAGGAAAAUGGUAAAACCAAGGUUAGGCCUUGCAGGAGGAGUUUUAUUCAAGGCAAACUCUCAAGGGGUUCCCAUAACACCCAACCGCGUAAGGAACGCAAAAUCAAGGAACAUAACACCGGUAUGACGGAAACUAGGGCGGCAAGAGUGGAACAAAACACCAGGCAUAAGGCCGAGCCUUCCACCCUUUACCAAGUAUAUAGAUGCAUUAAAGUAAACAGUAUAUAAUAAUGAUACCCCAACAAUAUCCAUGUUCCAAACAUGGAACAAACUCCAACUUCACCUGCAACUAGCAACGCUAUAAGAGGGGCUGAGCAAAGCGGUAACAUAGUCAAACAACGGUUUUCUAGGAAAGGUGGGUUAGAGGCUUGACAUGGCAAUAUGGGAGGCAUGAUAAAGCAAGUGGUAGGUAUCACGGCAUAGCAAUAGAGCGAACAACUAGCAAGCAAAGAUAGAAGUGAUCUCGAGGGUGUGGUCAUCUUGCCUGCAAAAUUCUCAGAGUUGACGAAAGCUUGAUCCUCGUUAGCGUACACAACGGGUUCCUCGAUGACGUACUCGUCUCCCGGCUCUACCCAAAGCAAGAACACAAGCAAAUGACCCACAAUCAAUCACGGUGCAAUGCACAAUCAACAUGAUGCAAAACAUGACAUGACAUGCAGGAUGUGAUAUGCAAUGCAUAUGCAUGCUCCGGAAGGGAAAGAUUGAACAAGACAUCAACUUGGCAAACCAAGUGCUCCGCUAUAAAGAUGAGUUGAUUUCGGUCGAAAUCAAUAUAAAGAUCACCGGAAUCGGAUGCACGGUUUGCAAAUGGCAAGCAAAACAAGAAUGGCACAAUUCUGCGAUUAACGGCACGAUGCCAUCUAGAAUGCAAAGAGAAACUAAGCUACUGCACUCCAACAUAGCAACAAAGCACAUGGAAGUGAUCUACUCAAGAUGCUUGACAAAAUAUGAACACUGAGCUAUGGCUAAAACACACUAUAACAGGUUCAAACAAGCAUGGCAAAAGUGCAAAAGAUAUCAGCUUCACAGACUUGGUGAAAAUACUAACAUGCCAGAAAUUAACAUCAGGAAGCAAUGUUUAGAGCAAGCAAACAACAUGCUACAGGAAUAGAUCAUAGCAAACAAAGGCAUGGAAUGAAUCUACUCAAAGCCUAGAACAAAAAUCCCUUACUGACCAUGAGCCAAAAAGGCACAGAAGAUAUGAUGGCACCCAUGUAAACAUAGCAAGUUUCAUUAACAGAUUUAGACUUAGUAGAAAACUGAGCAUGGCAUAAAUAGAGUUAUGAAGGCCUCUUUACGAGCUCGAUUCACUCACCACAAGGCAUUGCAUGACAAGAUAAGAAUAGCAUCAGCAAGAUGGCAUGUGUAUGAAGCUAACCAAGGCAAGAGCAAGUUCAUAGCAUGCAUGGAUCAACUACAAAAACCCUCGCAAAAUUGAUUAACAUGUAAACAAUCUGCCAGGAACAUUUUAUAGCAAAAGUGGAGCAAGAUUGAGACAUGCUAGGGCACUCCAUAAUUGCAAACAUGGGCAUGGAUGGAUAGAGCAUAACCAUAUGUCCAAAUCAUCCUUACUGAAAUAACUCAAAACAAGCAUGGAUCUCACUGUAGCAUCAUGGUUACAUGGCAUAAAAAUAACAGCAGACCAACGACUUAGCAAAAUCCUAAGUCCCUGAAAUCAGCAAUAUCACGAAGGCUACUUUGCAUGCUUGUGCUAGUCACCACAUUGAUCACAAAAAUACAUGGCAAACGCCCCUGUAAAUAUGGCAUGUCAUAGAUCAAAAUACAUAUAGAGCUCAUGACCAUAUGAUGCACACAACAAAUGUGACAAAUAUGACCCUCAUAAUCUGCCAAGUAACAGGAGCUAACAUUUUAUAGCACUCUUGCAUCAAUUAUUUGGGCAUCCAGAUGAACUCAAACAAGCAUGUCACAAUGGAAGAAAAUCAAGAGCACAUCAUGAUGAACAUUUUGAUAUAGUAUGCGCAUGAAACAGAGCUACGGUGAAGAAGUUAUGAUGCGUUGAACAAAGCAAUAAAAUAUGAGGGGGAAAUGACUUACGGAAAAUUAGACCUCCGAAAUUCCCAAAUCUAGGGCUUUGACUUGCAUGGAUGUCGAGGUUCGACUAGAGUGGAUCUCGCCGGAAUACGUCGCGGUGGCCGGAGUCCGAAGCGGAGGAGAAGGGCGGGGAGGCGGCGCUGGUGCGGCGGAGUGGCCCCGGGUCGGCGAGGUGGCGCUGGUCGCCCGGCGGCGAGGCGGUGCUGGUCGCCAGGCAGCGCUGGUGACCGGGUAGCGGCGCAGAGGAGCAGGGAGGCGNNNNNNNNNNNNNNNNNNNNNNNNNNNNNNNNNNNNNNNNNNNNNNNNNNNNNNNNNNNNNNNNNNNNNNNNNNNNNNNNNNNNNNNNNNNNNNNNNNNNNNNNNNNNNNNNNNNNNNNNNNNNNNNNNNNNNNNNNNNNNNNNNNNNNNNNNNNNNNNNNNNNNNNNNNNNNNNNNNNNNNNNNNNNNNNNNNNNNNNNNNNNNNNNNNNNNNNNNNNNNNNNNNNNNNNNNNNNNNNNNNNNNNNNNNNNNNNNNNNNNNNNNNNNNNNNNNNNNNNNNNNNNNNNNNNNNNNNNNNNNNNNNNNNNNNNNNNNNNNNNNNNNNNNNNNNNNNNNNNNNNNNNNNNNNNNNNNNNNNNNNNNNNNNNNNNNNNNNNNNNNNNNNNNNNNNNNNNNNNNNNNNNNNNNNNNNNNNNCGGCAUUGCCACGUGGCGAGCAGAGAGUGGCUGCGGGCAGCGGCGGAUCCUGUCUGGCGGCGGCCGGACGUGUCUAGUGGCGGCGGGGGCGAUUUGAUCUAGGUUUUGACUUGAAUUUUGGACGGGGGGGGACAUAUUUAUAGGUAGGAGGAGUUUGGAGUGUCCAAAUGAGGUGUAGUUUUCGACCACGCGAUCGUGAUCCGACGGUGGAGGACAUGGGAGUGGUUUGGAAGGGUUGUUGGGCCGUUUUGGAGGGGUGUCGGGCUGCAACACACACGAGGCCUUUACGGUUCCCCGGUUAACCGUUGGAGUAUCAAAUGGACUCCAAAUGACACGAAAUUUGACAGCCGGUCUACCGGUGGUGUACCAAGGCCACUUGGCAAAUCUCAAUCCAUUCCGAGAACAUUUAGCACCCGCACACGAAAAGAGGCAAAAAGGGGGCACCAGAGGACGUGGGAGUGUCGGAAUGCAAAACAGACAAUGGGGAAAAUGCUCGGAUGCAUGAGACGAACAUGUAUGCAAAUGCGAUGCACAUGAUGACAUGAUAAGAAAUGCAUGACAUGAACAAAAUACAAAGCGAAGACAAAACCCAACCACGAAGGGAAUCUCGUAACUUAAAGCCGAAAAUGGAAGAGUCGGAGUUACAAAUAUGGCAAAAUACAUCCGGGGCGUUACAACACUCCACCAGUACAAAAGGAUCUCGUCCCGAGAUCUAGGACUGAAAGAACUCCGGAUAUUUGGAACGGAGGUGAUCCUCGCGUUCCCAGGUGUCUUCUUGGUCGGAAUGGUGUGACCACUUCACUUUUAGGAAUUUGAUAGACUUGUUGCAAGUCUUGCGCUCGGUUUGUUCAAGAAUAGCAAUGGGAUGCUCAUGAUAAGACAGAUCUUCUUGGAGAUCAAUCUCUUCAAAGUUGAUGGUGCUGUCAUGAGUCUUGAAGCACUUGCGAAGCUGUGACACGUGAAACACGUCGUGCACAUUCAUGAAGUUGGACGGAAGCUCAAUUUGAUGGGCGAGGUCACCUCUUUUGCCAAUGAUCUUGAAAGAACCCACGUAUCUAGGGGCAAGAUUCCCUUUGAUACCGAAGCAACGAGUGCCUUUCAUUGGAGAGACGCGGAGGUAGACAUGGUCUCCGAUCUCGAAAGCCAAGUCACGAUGCUUGCUAUCAUAGUAACUCUUCUGGCGCGAUAGCGUGGCUUUGAGAUUUUCACGAAUGACUUUGCACAUUUCUUCAGCUUCUGUGAUUAAGUCAUUGCCAAGAAGUUGGCAUUCACCAGUCUCUGGCCAAUUAAGAGGAGUAUGGCACUUUCUGCCAUAGAGAAUCUCGAAUGGGGCCUUGCCCGAACUCGCUUGGAAGCUGUUGUUGUAGGAGAACUCGGCAUAUGGAAGAUAAUCUUCCCACUUCAUACUGAAGGAAAUGACACAAGCCCUGAGCAUAUCUUCAAGAAUUUGAUUGACUCGCUCGACUUGUCCACUAGUUUGAGGAUGGAAGCCUGUGCUGAAGCGAAUGUUGGUGCCCAUGGCCUUCUGGAAGGAAUUCCAGAACUUAGAAGUAAAGAUGCUUCCAUGAUCUGAAGAUAUCAACUGCAGAAUGAUGUUCAAAGAGACAAUCCUGGAGGUGUAUAGCUCUGCCAACUGAGCUGCUGUGAUAGAUUCUUUGAUAGGAAGAAAAUGAGCCACUUUAGUAAGCUUGUCGAUGACGACGAAGAUAACAUCAUUGCCACGCUUGGACUUGGGAAAUCCAGUCAUGAAGUCCAUCUCAAUAUGGUCAAACUUCUAUUCUAGAAUGGCAAGAGGUUGGAGGAGACCAGCUGGCCGUUGGUGUUCUGCUUUCACUCUUCUGCAGACAUCACAUUCCUUCACGAACUGAGCAAUUUCUCCCUUCAUUCGAGUCCACCAAUACGACUGCUUGAGGUCAUGGUACAUCUUCGUACUUCUAGGAUGAAUGGAUAGAAGGGAAUUGUGAGCCUCGUUCAUAAUGACUUUCCUUAGGUUGCCUUUAGGAACCACAAUUCGAUCCUCGAAGAAAAGAGUAUCUUUGUCAUCAAGGCGAUAGCACUUGUACUUGGGUUGGCUCUUGGCAAUCCCAUUUUUUACCUUCUUCACCAUGGCAUCAAGAAGUUGUGCCUCACGAAUUUGAUCUUCCAAAGUAGGAGAGACUUGGAUAUUGGCAAGAAAGCCUUGAGGAACAACUUGGAGAUCAAGUUUGCGGAAAGCUUCACAAAGAUCUGGUUGGAAGGGCUUGAGAAUUAAGCUGUUGCAGUAAGCCUUCCUGCUCAAAGCAUCAACAAUGACAUUGGCCUUGUCUGGAGUAUAUUCAAUACUCCGAUCGUAUUCUUGAAUCAUUUCGACCCAACGAGUCUGCCUGAGGUUGAGGUUGGGUUGAGUGAAGAUGUACUUGAGGCUCUUAUGAUCCAUGAAGAUGUCCACUUUCCUUCCCAACAAGAGACGUCUCCACGUUAAUAAAGCAUGGACAACUGCCGCCAACUCGAGGUCAUGAGUGGGGUAGUUCUUUCGUUGGGCUUCAACUGGCGAGAGGUAUAGACCACAACUUUCUUCUCUUGCAUUAACACAGCACCGAGACCUUGCAGGGAGGCAUCACAGAAAACUUCGAAUGGGUUGGAUUCAUUAGGAGGAGUCAAAACAGGAGCUAUGACUAACUUCUCUUUGAUGGUGUUGAAAGCAAUGUCACAUUCAGGCGUCCAGACAUACUUGACAUGUUUCUGAAGGAGGUUGGAAAGAGUCUUAGCAAUCUUAGAGAAAUUCUCAACGAAUCUUCGACAAUAGCUUGCAAGCCCAAGGAAACUGCGGAGCUGCUUCACAUUCUGAGGCGGUUCCCAAUUCACAAUUGCAGACACCUUCUCAGGAUUAACAGCUAUGCCCUUGGCGGAGAUGAUAUGGCCAAGGUAGAGAACCUCAUCGAGCCAAAACUCACACUUUGAAAACUUCGCAUAGAAUUGAUGUUCUCUGAGUUUGUCGAGUACCAAUCUCAAAGGCUUGGUGUCGGUGUCAAAACCGGCGGAUCUCGGGUAGGGGGUCCCGAACUGUGUGUCUAGGCCGGAUGGUAACAGGAGGCAGGGGACACGAUGUUUUACCCAGGUUCGGGCCCUCUUGAUGGAGGUAAAACCCUACGUCCUGCUUGAUUAAUAUUGAUGAUAUGGGUAGUACAAGAGUAGAUCUACCACGAGAUCAGAGAGGCUAAACCCUAGAAGCUAUCCUAUGGUAUGAUUGUAUGUUGUGAUUGUUGUCCUACGGACUAAAACCCUUCGGUUUAUAUAGACACCGGAGAGGGUUAGGGUUACACAAGGUCGGUUACAAAGGAGGAGAUAUCCAUAUCCGUAUUGCCUAACUUGCCUUCCACUCCAAGUAGAGUCCCAUCUGGACACAAGACAAAGUCUUCAAUCUUGUAUCUUCAUAGUCUAACAGUCCGGCCAAUGGAGAUAGUCCGGCUGUCCGGAGACCCCUAAUCCAGGACUCCCUCAGUAGCCCCUGAACCAGGCUUCAAUGACGAUGAGUCCGGCGCGCAGUAUUGUCUUCGACAUUGCAAGGCGGGUUCCUUCUUCGAAUACAUCACAGAAGAAUUUGAAUACGAGGAUAGUGUCUGACCCUGCAAAAUAAGUUCCACAUUCCACCGUAGAGAGAAUAAUAUUUUCGCAGAUCUAAUUUGCUGACUUGUUUUGGCAGCAUGACGUUAUGUCAUGGCCCGGUGAUUAUUCGAACUGUUCCCUUUAACCAGCCCCGCACAUAACGCGAGGCAGUUUUUCGACACGUCUUUUCAAAGCAGAGAUCGGGUCCCCUUAUUACGGGAUUCUCAUCAAUACGGGUGUGGGUAACCCAACUGCGCCAUUAAUUAUGGUGCUUGGGGGAUAAGCGAGUUUUACCAGGCAAGUGGGAACGCUCAGUUUUGUCCACCCAUAUAAAAGGAUAAGGAUUCACCUUCCUAUCCACGCCUUCUUCCUUCUUUGCUCAUCCGUUUUUGCACACUCGAGCUCUAGCGCCCAAGUCCACACUUCCCACCUCAACCUUCUCCAACCAUGUCUGGAGCGGGAGGCAGGUGGAUGGUCUCCUUCGUCACGGAGGGAGACAUCAAGAAACUGAGGAGAGCCGGAUACCUGCCCGACGACAUCACGCACCGGCUCCCAGAUGAGGGGCAGCUCAUCCCCACCCCCAGGCCCCAUGAGAGGGUAGUAUUCCUCACCCAUUUCCUCCGCGGACUGGGAUUCCCUCUCCAUCCAUUUGUCCGGGGGCUCAUGUUCUCUUACGGCCUGGAUUUCCAUGAUCUGGCCCCGAACUUCGUCCUCAACAUCUCAGCGUUUAUCAUUGUGUGCAAGGCCUUCCUCCGCAUCAAGCCCCACUUCGGCUUAUGGCUGAAGACCUUCAAUGUCAAACCGAAGGUGGUGGGCGGCCGCCAGGCGGAGUGCGGAGGCGCCAUGGUGGGCAAGAUGCCCAACAUAACAUGGCUCGAGGGCUCCUUUGUGGAAACCAUAAAGGGGUGGCGAUCGGGGUGGUUCUACAUCACCGAGCCGCGCGAGCCUGUAUGGGCAGCGGCCCCCGAGUUCUGAUCUGGCAUCCCCACGCGGCUCACCUCCUGGAAAGAUAAGUGCAUGUCCUGGGGUAGUUCGGAAGAGCUGACCGGACUCCACACAUGUAUUCAAAACAUGGUGAACAAGAAGCUCAAGCUUGUCAACAUAGUCCAAGUUAUGCUCAUCCAUCGGAUCCUCCCGUGCCAACAACGGGAGUUCAACUUGUGGGAGUUCGACCCGACGCAGCACCGAACUCUGAACAGGCUCUUCGACAUGACUCAUGAAGAUGCCUGGAGGGUGCUGUUCAAAAGUGCCGAGGUCCCCCCUCCUAUUACUGAGGAUCGCGGAUUUGGCGCGAAGCACCAAGCCAGUGUGAUAAGCUACUUUACCUUUCACGGGAUACUUAUUUUUUUAUAGAUUAACUCUAUGCGGGAUCUAAACUCCCGUACCUUUGACAGGACUGGCAGAAGAUGGCCGGACAGAUCGACUGUCCGGCUCCUUUUCCUGAAGGCCCCGCAGACGCUCUUCUGGCGAAGAUGUUGACUCCGGCCCCUUAUACAGUGUCGGAGAAGACCAAGAAGGCCAAGGGAACCCGAAAGAGUUCCCGACACCAGAUGUCGUCGGACUCACCGUUCGAUGACUCUGCGGCGCACUCUUCCCCCAAGACGAGGAAGAAGAAGAAGAAGAUGCUCCCCCACUGACUGGGGGAGACAGGAAAAGGAAGGCCGCCCCAACUAGGGAGGUCGGAGGGUCCAAGAAGGGAAGGACUCUCCUUCUGGGUAGUUCCGCCGCCGCCGACGAAGGCGAAGACGAGUGGUUGCCCAGGGCCAAGCCCCCAAGGAGAUCGUAAGUAUUCGGAUACCAGAGUAACUCAUGGAAUUCCUUUGUCACACUGUUUUCCCUAAUCGCCAAACAUAAUUAUGCAGGCCGCCACGAGCCAAUAUCGAGGUAUCAUCGGACGGCUCCUUGAGCUUGUCGGACAUGGAUAGCGAUCCAGUCCCGACCGCCACCUCCCCUCAUCCUGCCGACGAUGUUGAGGUGUUGUCUCAAGAGGCACCGGAUCGAGGGGAGACAGUCCCGGAGGCGCCUCAAGGCGACCUUCCGGACUCCGGGAGCCGAGGGGGCGGGGCCCCUGAGAGCUCUGAGUUUGGCCCUCAGCCGAACACCGCGCCGGACCCUCCAGCGGUUCCGGGCUCGGGCAGGCGGCCUCCUUCUAAGAGGGGCAAGACGCCUGUGCUGGUGACCUCUGUCCAUCCAGAGGCGCCGGACAGUCUGCUGGAAGCGCUUCGCAGCGCUUCCAUCGACGAGGAGCACCGCACUAUCAUGAGUGCGGUGAUCCAGAAGGUUCAAUCCGCCAAGAGCAGAUUGACUGAAGCCUGUGCCAGCCUUCUAACAGGCUUCGAGGUAAGUGUUUUAAAAUGUAGUAAAAAUAUUACCGCAUAGACAGUAGCCCUUGAUGCUUUGUUCGGUGUUCACAAAGAAAAGCCGAACAGAGGAUCAAAUAAUAUCGCAGGAGUCUAAUAUAAGUGUGUCAAUAUGCAUAUGCAGACUUCGCUGCUGGCAUGCGCCGCACUGACUGCGGAGGUCGCCGUACUGAAGCAGGACCUCGAGGGGUCCAGGAAAGAGCUCGGCCUUGUCAAGAGGCAGCUCGAGGAGAACAAGGGUAAGUAAUACCCUGUCUAUAGAUAUGUAUAUAUAAAAGAAGACGUGAUUGCAAAAUGAGUGGAUCAUCGUAUAUUUGCCAGGGGCCACGACUGAGGUGGCGACCCUGAAGCAAGCGCUAACCAAGGCCGAAGAUAAAGCGGCCAAGGAGCGCACCGAGCGGGAAAAAACAAGAGGCUCGUGUGGGCGAGGUGCAGCAAGAGCUCCAGGCUCUCGUGGCGAAGCACGAGGCAUUGGAGCUUGACUCAAAGACGCGGGAGUCUGAGCUUGCCACGGCCCUCGAGAGCGCAAAAAGUGCCAAGGCUGAAGCCCAAAAGGCUCUCCAAGAGAUCGACGCGAUGAAGAAGAUGGCGGCGGGUAAGGCUUUCUAUAUGCAAAGCAAGCAUGUAAAAGUAAAUUACCGAUUACUUACCCGGAUCCGGAGCUCUUCAGGAGCAUUCGCAGAUUUGCCCCGCAGCGUGUCGGAUGCCGCGCAGUUUUACCACGCCGAGGAGGGAAGCUCAACGGAGAAGCUGUUCUGGUCUCAGUAUACUGGGACCGAACACCCGAUGCCUCUGAGCGACCAGCUAAAGCAGCUGGUCGAGCUGCACAAGGCGGCCGAACAGGCCAUGAAGGGCCUUAUAGUCCGGCUGUGGCCUGGCGACGCCCUUCCGAAAGCUACUUCGGCCUGGUGAGGCGGCUUGUAGAUGCCUGCCCAUGGCUGGAGGUCGUCAAGCGGUCCGUCUGCAUCGCAGGUGCACGCCGGGCUUUCGCCCAUGUGAAGGUGCAGUGGGCCAAGCUAGACGUCGUGAAGCUGAUCAAGGAAUGGCCGCCACAGGGCAAGGAGCAUCGCACCCCCGAAAUUUAUUAUGAGAGUGUCCUGAAGGGUGCCCGUCUUGUGGCGGACGAAUGUUCAAAGGAUGUAAUAUUUGAGUAAACUUGCUCGUGUGAUCCUGUAUGAUGAAAACUUGUUUCAUAUGCGCUACGCAACGCUUGUGUGAAUUUAAAAUAUUACCUUCUGUUUGGUUGUUUAUCCAAUCUGAGAGAUGGCUAGUCCUCGGCUUCUUCCCCCAUGCCACUAGUGCUGGGGUGUUCAGGAUAAACCUGAGCACUCUUGUUCCCAUGUUUGGGUCCUUCGAGGGAGGUGCUUAGCACAACGAACCAGCCAACCGGACUAAUAAUGCUUUAUCACUCUCACUUAGCCAUAGAAUUCUAUAAUUUUAAAUUUCGGCGAAGCCACUGGUAUUCGGAAGGCUGAAUUCGGGGCGCGAUACACGUCUUUAAGCCGGACAGGGCCGGCCCCUCGCCCUAAGCGGCAUAAGUCUUUAGGGACUCGAAAACCUCACCGAAUAGCGACCAGUCUCCCGCCUUAUCAUGAUAGUCAGUUUUAGCUUUCUCUACUGAGGUGCUCAGCCCGGCAGAACCGGGGUACAAUCGCAGUAGUUCUCCUAGCGCUACCUUAGCCGAUAGAGCGGAACAUAAGGUGCCAAAACAUAGGAGCCGGGUGACGGUGUCCUGGACUAGGGGGUACUCACCACGUCGUCUCCCGAUCUAUUAGAUUGGGCCGAGGACCCCCGUGGCCGUAUACUCACGGGCCAAUUCGGACGGCUACCGCAUACAAGGAAGAUUCCACAAGACUUGGCGAUCAAGACAAGGACUUCUCCCCACCGGCGCAUUCGGCUAGGACUCUUGUUAUCCUAGGCCUCCGGUGCAUUAUAUAAACCGAGGCCAGGCUAGUCGAUAGAUAUACAAUAUAUACAACAAUCAUACCAUAGGCUAGCCUUCUUGAUCUCGUGGUAGAUCUACUCUUGUACUACCCAUAUCAUCAAUAUUAAUCGAGCAGGACGUAGGGUUUUACCUCCAUCAAGAGGGCCCGAACCUGGGUAAAACAUUGUGUCCCUUGUCUCCUGUUACCAUCCGCCUAGACGCAUAGUUCGGGACCCCCUACCCGAGAUCCGUCGGUUUUGACACCGACAUUGGUGCUUUCAUUAAGAGUUCCGCUGUGUGAUCGACAAAAGGAUUGAUGGCUCGCCUGCAGAUCAACUGCAACUUCGGCAUCUUCGUCACCAGCUCGACUGGUCACCUUGGUACGACCAAGAAUUGCGCCCCGUGUUUGGAUCACCAUGUCCGGAUGAGGGCCUUCAUCAAACAUCAUCUCCGAUGUCUAUCAAGAUCACGAAGGAAUCAUCUAUGGAGCUCGGGGGCUCAACAUCAACAUUGCCCUCAAGCGACCGUGCUGUUUUUCUGGACAGCGAACUCGUAUCUGCCACCACCACCUCCUCGAGUAUCGCUUUGACGAUCGCUUUGGUGGAAUUGUGCGGAAUUGAGUCUACAACAACCCUGGAAAAUUUCGUCGAGUUCCGAUGGAGGAAUCCCUGGCAAUCCACGAUAUACCGGAGCCCUGUCAAAUCUGGACGGGAAUUUGGAUGAGUUUAGGGCGUGGUGUCCAGCUUCUAUAUCGGACGUCCUUUGGAAGAUCCAACCGUUGAUCGGCUGCGUAAUUCCUAUAUCUACCACCUCUCAAAAUUUCGGCUCGAUCCGACCGUCCAAACUCCGGGAACCUUCCGAUUAGUGCAUCAUUUUUCGGAUCUGUUUUCUGCGCGAAAACGAAUCCGACCCGAGUUCAUCUUUUUUAUGAACAGGAUUUCGGACAUUCCUUUUGAAGGAAGUUUUGUAUGGGGUAUUGUGUUUUGUUCCUGAACACAUCCCACUAACUGUAAGAUCUUUUGAACAUGAUCUUCAACAUCAUGCUGGUGUCAAACCAGUCCGGCAAUAUUACUCCAUGGCUGCCGACCUGCGCUAGACACGGCGUCACUUUGUUGAGCCCGAGCUCAACUUCUUCGGAUCAUCAUCUCGGCAAGCCGAACAAGAGCCCGGCAUCGCGAAGGAUAAAUCAUCACCAACAUCGCCGCCCCACGGAUUACACGGAGCGGGCAUACUGGCAUCGCCGCACGGUCGCUUCAUCAAGCCGGCAUCGACAACGUCACGACCUGCAUCGACAGAGCCGCACUAUUGCUUCUUCAAGCUGGUGUCCAUCACGCCGACCUACUUCGACUCAUCGGCUGACAUCGAGGCUUCGACAUCUCGGCUGGACCAUGGGCUUCGCCAUCUCUUCAUCAACCUACUCCGGACACUUCGGCGUCACUAGCCGACCAUCUUCAUCAUGUUAGCUGGGCCGAGGGCUUUGCCUCAGAGAGUCAACCUUUACCAGCAUUGCCAUACCGUCAUUUUAUCGCCCAUCAGGCAAUGGGUGUGCGGAGCGGGUCCCAAUUUUACGAAUCACCUUCCUUCGGAUUGCUACAACAAAUAAACCAGGCGUUAUUAAUCCCAGUAUUUUUUGCUUGUUUGGGUUCAUUUUUCCCAAGGAAUUAUUACUCUGGUUUGUCCGUCAUAUGUACACAGGUCUAUCAAAUGGUGGCUGCAUUAACGACAGUCGCAUGGUGGUUCGAUCAGUUUCCGUACAUAGUCUGGCGAACGCCGCACUCGGAGCUCGGACUGACCUGCGAAUUCAGGCUUUGCCACGCCUUUACCGCAUCACGCCGACGCCCUGCAUCGACUUGACUUCGGCGCCACGCCAUAUUUCUUUUAUUACUCACUUUGCAUAAAUUAUUUAUUAUGCAACGAUUUUUUUUAAUUAUCAUUAUUACUAUUAUCUCCGGUUUGCACUAUUUUUUAUGCACACGAAAAUGACCCGGAGACUUCGGCGUCACUCUGCCGGUCUGCAUUGAUCGUGCUAUGUCACCACUUCGGCGUGUCAAGCUCUCCGCUCCGCCACCUCGGGACCGGCUUGAGGGAUGGAACCUUGCCCCGCAUCAAGCUCGGACCGCGUCAUCAAUACCAAACACAUUAACCAGCUAAGUCGCUUUCAUGCUCAAAGCUUUAAUUUCUAACUUGCGUUCGGUUCGACCAAGCAUUAUACUUUUUUGGAAAAAAGUUGCUUCUAAAAAAUUUCCUUGUCCAAACUUUGUUUGUGACGCAUAAAUUCAAAUACCCCGUUUACUUGGGGGCUUCCUUUAUGAAGCUUUUCCUGUUGCAUAUGAUUAUACUUGUACGGCUUCGUUCCUUGUUCGUGUAUUACGCCACAAUAUGCACCACAUUGACUUAAGCGAUUUGCAAGCUGGGUUGCCUCGCUCCUGUGUUUACCCCUACGUUCCCGAUUGUUCGGCUAGGGAGUAAAGGGAGCACCUCUGCGAUUGUCACGAUCGAGUCACCCGAGCCGGACCUCAGACUGGGUGAAGCCGAAAGCUAGUGCUCUUAUAGUUAUUCAAUGAUGGACGGCACACAACGGAACUCAUGAGUACAAAAAAUAUAUUGCACAAGUCUCAUAAUAACAAUGAGCACCGAAGAAAGGUAUAGGUGGGGGUACUAUUUUCUUCGAAGAUGCUUCUUGCUCUUCGCAGUAAUAUAGCAUAAGUUCCCUGAGCGCGCUUUGUCUGUUACAGCCUUAUGGCCUGAUUGCCUAGUUAUUGGAAACACCGUCGAUAUUCUCGACCGAUGGAGUACAUAACACUUUUCGGUCCUUAACCGAAGAGGGAGAAGCCGGUGGUCGGUUAAGACGCGUUUAAAGUUUGGUUGAACAUAGAUAUGAUAUAAGUACCUCGGUACAUGCAAUCAUUCUUCUACCCAAGUCACUUGGGGGCUCUUAAGUUUAUUUGAGCCGUUUUAUAAUAAGUGUUCUUCUUCUCAGUCGUUGCAAAGUUCUAUUAUUAUUAUUUAUCACUCCUUUUUUCGAUGCGAGUGUGCGGUCACUAGCCGAGGAGCCUAAUUUCUCUCUCAAAGCCGCUAGAGUUUAGUUUGCUAAACUGGCCUAAUGAGAAGUACUCUGCCCUCGGGAUAGGAGGUUGAAGCCGUAGGCUGACCCGCUCGAAGUCUUGAGAUAGGAUGUGUCAUGUUAAAGGACGACAGAAGCACUUCUUUUUUCUAAGACCAAUUUUUGGAUUGGCACCGAACACUUGAUCUUGUUCGGACGUCAUGUUUUUACUGACGUUUCUUGGUUUUCCAAGCUUUUUGGCACUUUUAAACUAUUUGUGCUUUUCCAGCAUUAGUCUCGCAGUGCAACGCCGGACACCUUUAGGGAUUCGGCAAACACAUUCUCAGAUAUUGCUAUAUAUGCAUCGGUUUCGAAUUGUGUCUUCGGUCAAUAGUUGGGUUGCCCGGCUCCUGCACUUGCUUCCUACGUUCCGUUUUGUUCGGCUAGGCAUCCAAAGGGAGAACCACUGCGAUUGUGCUUCCAGCUCACAUGGUUAAGCACCUUAGUGGAGAAAGCCGAAAAUUGACUGUCACAAUAAGCGUAAACUGGUCAGCGAUCCGAUGACUAUGACGGGCCAUUCAUAACAUUGGCCGAAGUGUUUAUGGCUUGACCUCGAUUGUCUCCGAACACUAUCAGGGGCUAUUAACUGGCCUCCCAAACUAAAUCCUCGAUAUUUUGCUCUUACAUUCGAGCUGAGGUUUCAUGAUCAUGCUUAGCAUGACAACCCAAAGAAAGGAACUGAUAGCGGGACUAUUUUCUUUGGAAUACAUUUCUUCUGUUAAACAGUAAUAUAACAUAUCUCUCUACGUACCUUUGUUUAUAAAACCGUGUGGCCAGAUUGCCUUGGUUGUCGUAAAUCUUUGCCCUCAUAAAGGCUUUAUAAAGUAGGACAAACACUCCUCGGCUACUGGCCAAGGAGGUGGAAGCCGAUGGUCGGUCAACAAAGUUUGGUACAAUGCGGAUCCGAGCAUUAAUGACGUAAAGUACUUGGAUACAUAGAGUCAUUACACAUAAUUUGUGAUUUUACUAUGGAUAUUGAUCCUUAAUUUGGCCACCCGUGCCCGCAUUAAGGCUCGGGGGCUACUGGGGUUCGGGCUUAUUAUUUACAAAUAUUAAAGGGGCACAUCGAUCCCCUGAUCUGGUGUUGCCACCCGACCAGUGUCUCGGGGGCUACUGCAUUGCUUGUCCAAUGCAGAAAAUUUUAUGUGCAAUAUAGUUUCCGAGGAGAUUUUGAUCCUCAGGUUGGUCGGCCGCACCCAACCUGAGUCUUGAGUAUUGAGCACGCCGCUUUUGUGUCCCGAAGUAUUCUGCUGAGCUAGGACUUGAUCCUCAGGCCGAUUUUGCAAAUCAACCUGAGUCUCAGCGGCUACUGGGAUCAGCGGUCUUAUGUCAUCCUUCAUGUGCAUCUCGGGUUUUAGACCGAUACACACCUUGAGGGCUACUGGCUAUAUAUCUCGGCAGAGAAUAAAUUGCACCAAUAAAAAAUAUUGACAAAAAAUCGGCCCAUAGUCGGGGUGGUGCACCACCUCGGAAGCAGUCCGGCAUAAAGCUCGGGUGCUAGUGGCUGGCUCCAUAGAGGGCAUUUCUGGCAUUAAGCUCGGCUAAACUCCUUCAACUUUUUUGAACCAAGGUGAUAUGACACCUCGGAUAUAGUCCGGCAUUGGAGCCUAGACACAGUCCGAUGUUGGAGCUCGGAUAUAUUUCGGCGUUGGAGCUCGGAUAUACAGUCCGGCGUUGGAGCUCGGGUACAUAGUCCGGCGUUGGAGCUUGGGUACAUUCCGGCGCUAGAGCUCGGAAGCGGUCCGGCGUUGGUGCUCGGCUGCAAAAGAUACCUUGAAUGUAGUCCAGCGUUGGAGCUCAGACGCAAGAGGACCCUGCCUCCUGGGAACAACUUCAAACCCGAGGUGUGGCAUAAAAAUAAACAAGGCAUUGAUAAAGGCCGGAAACUUAAAGGGGCUCCUCGGAUACCCGACGUGUAAACUCGUCGAAUGCAUUUCGGCGAUCCUCAAGAUCGAAGAUAAAGAAGAUUUGUUGAACCAGUUUUCAAGACCGGCAACCGAAGAUGAAGAACAGUUCAGAAGAAUCGAGGAGCGUCCCUAACUUGAAGACCGGUUCAGGGGGCUACUGACGGUGUCCUGGACUAGGGGGUACUCACCACGUCGUCUCCCGAUCUAUUAGAUUGGGCCGAGGACCCCCGUGGCAGUAUACUCAUGGGCCAGUUCGGACGACCACAUACAAGGAAGAUUCCACAAGACUUGGCGAUCAAGACAAGGACUUCUCCCCACCGGCGUAUUCGGCUAGGACUCUUGUUAUCCUAGGCCUCCGGUGCAUUAUAUAAACCGAGGCCAGGCUAGUCGAUAGAUAUACAAUAUAUACAACAAUCAUACCAUAGGCUAGCUUCUAGGGUUUAGCCUCCUUGAUCUCGUGGUAGAUCUACUCUUGUAUUACCCAUAUCAUCAAUAUUAAUCGAGCAGGACGUAGGGUUUUACCUCCAUCAAGAGGGCCCGAACCUGGGUAAAACAUUGUGUCCCUUGUCUCCUGUUACCAUCCGCCUAGAUGCAUAGUUCGGGACCCCCUACCCGAGAUCCGCCGGUUUUGACACCGACACCGGGCAAACCCAACAUUUGACCAAAGACAUGAUUCAGAGCUGAUGCAUAUAAUGCUAUAAGUUCGGGGUGCCGCACUUGUGAAAGUGUUCGGACUUUUCACACCAUAUUGUGGGGUACGCAAGCCACUAGUGUAUUGGCCGUACCAAAGUGUACGGUUGCAAGGCGUCGUUAAUGAACACACACAUAUAUAUAACAAGAAUGCAAUAAUAGUCGUAAUGUCAUGCAUUGUUUAUUAAAAAAUUGCGUUAAAGUAGAUUGAUACAGAUAGUGCGAUAAGCAAAGACUAGGACUAUGACCCUUCCAAGGGCAAGCUGAGGAAUGAUAUUAAAUCGAAUAUUUCGCUCGUUACUAUAAUCAACCUGGGAAUUCCGUGGUAUGACGUAGAUGUCUGCCUCCUUGGUUGCUGCAUCAUGUGUUUGGCAAUAGUGCUGCCGGACAGUGUUUCUAGAGAUUAAGGUCCUGAAAAAAAUAACCAAAUGGGAAGCCCCUAGUGCGGUUUAAGCCGCGUCUUGGGGCGUGCCGCAGUUGUGCCCCCCUCCCCACCUGUGCCCAUGGUAUUUUGAAUGCAUAAUUAUGUACGCGCGGCACGAGUUUCGCCAUUGGGCUGGGAUUGGGGUGGUUAUCGUAUUGCUACGCGAGCUCAGAUCGCGCCAGGCGGUCUAUUUGCCGAUUGCCCCGAGCGCGCUUGAAGGUGUCCGGGCUUUGAAGCGCCGAACUGGUUGAUUGCCUUGAGAGGCUGCUUUGCGCUUCUGCUGCGAGGGCCGCGGUGUGCUCCUCUGUUCGAAGAGAGCGCUCUGUGUUUUCAUUGACUGUAAUAACUCCGCAAGGUCCUGGCAUCUUGAGCUUGAGGUAUGCAUAAUGCGGUACCGCAUUGAAUCUAGCAAAUGCGGUUCGCCCGAGCAGCACGUGAUAACCACUGCGGAACGGGGCUAUAUCGAAGAUUAACUCUUCGCUUCUGAAGUUAUCCGGGGAUCCGAAGACCACCUCCAGUGUAAUUGAGCCUGUGCAAUGGGCCUCCACACCUGGAAUGACGCCUUUAAAGGUCGUUUUUGUGGGUUUGAUCCUUGAGGGGUCUAUACCCAUUUUGCGCACUGUGUCCUGAUAAAGCUGGUUCAGACUGCUGCCGCCAUCCAUAAGGACUCGAAUGAGGUGGAAUCCGUCAAUGAUUGGGUCUAGGACCAGUGCGACAAAUCCGCCAUGACGGAUACUAGUGGGAUGGUCCCUGCGAUCGAAGGUGAUCGGACAGGAGGACCAAGGGUUGAAUUUUGGGGCGACUGGCUCCAACGCGUAUACGUCCCUGAGCGCACGCUUCCACUCCCUCUUGGGGAUGUGGGUUGCGUAUAUCAUGUUCACCGUAUGCACUUGCGGGGGAAACCUCUUCUGUCUUCCAGUGUGCGGCUGCCGGGGCUCCUCCUCGUCAUCGCUAUGUGGCCCCUUGUCCUUGUUUUCGGCAAUUAACUUGCCGGCCAGCUUGAACACCCAACAUUCCUUGUUGGUGUGAUUGGCUGGCUUGUCUGGGGUGCCGUGUAUUUGACACGAGCGAUCGAGUAUACGGUCCAAGCUGGACAGACCCGGCAUACUUUGUUUGAAUGGCUUUUUCCGCUGACCGGGUUUAGAGCCUUUGAAUCCGGCGUUGACUGUUGUAUCCUUAGUAUUUUCACUGUUAAUGUGGCGCUUAUGUUUGUUGCGACAUGACCUGCUAUUGCCAUCCUUGGUAUCUGAGAUGAUGAGGACAUGACUACCUUGCAUAUGACCAAAAAUAUUGCAUAUAUGCAUAUUUUUCAGGUGAUUUCUAGUGCAAACUAUUCAAUAAUCUAUUUAUGUUAUCCAGAACAAAAAUACUUCACACACUUUUGUGUUUUGUCUAAUUGCAGGUGUAUGGGACAUUUGUACAAUCCACAUAUGAAGAUAAGGAAGAAAGAGAUGUUUAUUUGCUGUCCAAAAAGUUCUCUCACGUCACUUUUGGCCCAAGAGAAGAUAGAGUCCAAGUCUCUCACGUUCUGGAUUCAGAUUCGGACUGCACAGACACACCUGACUCAAAACGCACACAAGUUUUUAAUACGGACUCCGAAUUGGGUGAUUCUUUUUUGUUGGAAACUAGAUUUCGUGCACUUUCCAACCCAAUUGGAAUCACCUUCAAAUUCGUCCAGAGCGUUGAGUUGUGGACGAAACAAUCUGAUGCUGCAGCAGAAUCCGAGUCAAACUACAAGUCCAAAGGUGUUACAUCACCUCCACUUGGGCCCAUUGGCCUUGUACGACCUAGAUUUAGUUUUAGGCUGCCUUGGGACGUCCUCCCACCUCCUUGGCCGCCACCCCUUGCUCCUAUAUAAGUAGAUCCAUCUAGUAGUUUUUCCUUGGGAUUUGUUUAGUUAAAAGUUAGCCAUUGCAACUUCAUGUACUUCGUUUGUGUCCAACGACCAGACCAAGACCGCUUCCGGAUCCCCACCAUUAUCAAUACUUCAUAUAUAUUCGCAAUAUUCAGAUUGCUUUAUCAUAUUCUUGCUCGUUCUUCGAUUGCUUGCAGGAAUAGACCUUCGUGGUCAUGUUGAUCGUGCUCCAGCGUGGUCAAUAACCUCUCGGAGUUGGUUUAGCGAUUGCUAAGGCGCAACGUCGUGCACGUUUGUAGUCGGAUCGUCAAAGUCGUCUCCACCAAAUCGAUAGUUAUCAUCUCAUCGAAAGACCGGGACACCCUCGCCUCUAUCAAGUGGUAUCAGUUUUCAGGUUGCUCGGUGAGAAUUUCCAGUUUUUCCUAGAUUAGAUUUAUUUUCUUACCUAUUGUCCAAGAAAAAGCUACAAAACAAAAGUUAGAUCUAUUCAUCCUUUGUCCUAGCCAGACUGAGCCUUUGCAAUUUUCUUUUCAUUGUUUGCAUUACUGAAUUAUCGGUUGCAUCGCCGUGUCGAGUUGCUGGUCUUAGUGUCUAGUUCCUUUAGAGUUUCGAGUUCUGUUCAUAUUAGUCACGUAGCCGCUGCAUCAUUAUCCCAUCCGCUGUCCACCAUCCCAUCCACCAAUUUCCACCACGUGCUACGCACUGUUUAUUGUCAUAAUCAUAGUUGAGGUCACUCACAUCUUCGCCAGAUCGAAUCUGCAUCUUAUCUAGUUUGUCUUGGAAAGAGGGAGAAAAAGAAGAUAAAGAAAAAAAAGAGAGAAAAAAGGAAAGAAAAAAAAGAAAAAGAGGGAGAAUAAAAAGAAAAAAAAGCGUGAGAAAAAAAAGAGAGAAGAAAAAAAAUUGGAUCUAUCUAGAAUCAAUCUCGUACCUGAAUUCGGAUUGGAAUCUGUUUUGCGCACUGUUCAGUAAAACAGGUGUAUCUUCCUCAUACGAAGUCCGUUUUGGCUCCGUGAGUACUCAAAUUGAAGAUAGCGACGAGCCGCAUCUAAAUAGUUGCAGAAGCUAGUUCAAUAUUUGACACCUCAAAAUCGGCUUCUAAAUAGGUCUUUUUACCCUCCGAAGUUCGUGAACACAGCUUGUUCCAAUUUUUCAGGCCAGUUUUAGAAUUCUUUGACUCCUCAUAUCAACUCGGAAUUGAGUGAUUCUUUUUGCAUUGGAAAGCUUGAGUUAGUAGCAUUCUUUGAAAGAAUUUAUCAGAAAAUUGUCUCAAACUUUUCAAGAUGAAAGUUGGAGAGAGAGUUGUUGUAUAUCCUGCUUGGCAGUUGUUUUUCAUCAUUAUCUUCACUGCCGUUGUGAUCUUCACUUAUAUCUUGCUGUCAAGAGCUACUUAGUAUCCUUCAUUGAUGCUAGUUGUGCUACGCCGUGACCUUAUUAGUGUUCUAGGCUCGCGUCUCUAGUCCGGUCUAGCCUAGGACCAGCACAGUACCGUCGUUGAGCGUUUAUUCAACAUUGCAUCUUUGAAUUGAUUAUUGCUAAUCUUUUGCUACCAUAUAUAGCCAACCCAGCUCCACAUAUUUCUACACUGUGUAUACGUACGCUCCCCUGGCAAUCGCUUUACUCAAUAUUUGGAGUUACUUGACACCGCUGGUUGCCGAUCACCGCCUGCUGCAUGGUAAGAACUUGUAAGACAUUGAUAUUUGCUUUACUGUGAGCGUUUUACCACCACAUCCUAGUAGUUAUAGGAACAUUAUUUUUGGGUUUUGUUUCUUGUUCUACUAAUCAUGACAGGAUCCAGAGUCAAUUCAUGGGCUUUGUCAAUCGCGGGAGACGUGCCACCACCUUUGCAAAUACCACAACCGUCACGAGAGGUGCACAAACAUCCAAAUGCACAUGAUCAGGUUAAUGUAUCUAUACCACUAUUUAAUGGCCGUUUUAAACCUGCUUUAUAUAUUAAAUGGGAGUUCGACAUAAAAAAUAUAUUUGCUUCCCAUAAUUUCAAUGAACAUAAAAGGUUAAGGUUGCGGUUGGUUCUUUCACUGGUUAUGCUUUGGUUUGGUGGAGUGAAUAUUGUCGGUUACACCCUGAUUAUAUACCUACUACUUGGGAUGAUUUGAAACUUGUCAUGCGACAUACUUUCGUCCCUGCUUAUUAUACUCGUGACAUGAUUAAGAAGUUGCAACACUUAAAACAAGGUAGUGAAACUGUAACAAAAUAUUAUGAUGAUUUACAAACUACCUUAUUGCAUUCCUCUUUAGAAGAAAGUGAAGAUGAUUUUAUGGAUAGAUUUUGGGGAGGAUUAAACCGUGAUAUUCAAGAGAUAUUAAUUCAUGAAGAGUGUUAUCCUAUGGACCAUUUGUUUCAUCUUGCUUGCAAAGCUGAACAGGAAAUAAAACGACGUGUUGGCCACGAGGAGAACAAGCGCACGGUGCACAUUCCAAGAGUUGAUAUGAUUGUUCCUUCAACUACUAGGCAUACUAUGACAACCACAUCCGUUGUUGUCAGGACUACAUCACCUCCACCAUGUGACACAUCGCCCCCGAGAGUGGCUACAUCAUCUGAGUUGAUCAUAAGAGGUAAUGACAAAGGUACUGAUCUUCCAUCUCUACAUGAGAAUGAUGAAUGCCUUGUCAAUUUGAAUGCACCAUCUGAUGAGCUAUCCACUACUUUGAUCACACCACCUAUUUUAGAGGACUACGUUGAUAAUUUGACUUUGCCAUGUGAUCAAACAACUGAAAUACCAACAAUUUUGAGUGCACCCAUUGAAUUAACUAUUGAUGCAAAAGAACCAAUGUUUAAUCAUUUUGAUAUGACCUCUAAUCUUGGUGAUGAUUCUGUGUUGAAUGACUUAUUGCAUGUUUGCUUAUUUAAGCAUGUUGUAGCAUGUAAAUUUGAUGCAAGUAAGGUUUAUUCACCAAUGUUGGUAUGGUUUAAUGAUGAACAUUGUCAAUCUUUUGAAAUGAAUAAGAGCUUCACUUAUAUGUGCAAACUGAGUUGCAAUAUUUUCAUGCCUUCUACUUCUUGUGCUAAUUUUUUGGCUUUAGAUUUUAUGAACUAUGCAAGUUACUCAUCUAUUCAUGUGUCAUAUAUGCAAAAAUCAAGGGAAGUAAAAAUGGAUGACAUAUACAUAUACAACAUGUACACCUUGUCUCUUUUGUUAGCCACAUUUCAGAUUAAGCAACGCCGAGGACGGCUUUGUUUUCAAGAAGGGGAGGAUGAUGAGGACAUGACUACCUUGGAUAUGACCAAAAAUAUUGCAUAUAUGCAUAUUUGUCAGGUGAUUUCUAGUGCAAACUAUUCAAUAAUCUAUUUAUGUUAUCCAGAACAAAAAUACUUCACACACUUUUGUGUUUUGUCUAAUUGCAGGUGUAUGGGACAUUUGUACAAUCCACAUAUGAAGAUAAGGAAGAAAGAGAUGUUUAUUUGCUGUCCAAAAAGUUCUCUCACGUCACUUUUGGCCCAAGAGAAGAUAGAGUCCAAGUCUCUCACGUUCUGGAUUCAGAUUCGGACUGCACAGACAUACCUGACUCAAAACGCACACAAGUUUUUCAUACGGACUCCGAAUUGGGUGAUUCUUUUUUUGUUGGAAACUAGAUUUCGUGCACUUUCCAACCCAAUUGGAUUCACCUUCAAAUUCGUCCGGAGCGUUGAGUUGUGGACGAAACAAUCUGAUGCUGCAGCAGAAUCCGAGUCAAACUACAAGUCCAAAGGUGUUACAUCACCUCCACUUGGGCCCAUUGGCCUUGUACGACCUAGAUUUGGUUUUAGGCUGCCUUGGGACGUCCUCCCACCUCCUUGGCCGCCACCCCUUACUCCUAUAUAAGUAGAUCCAUCUAGUAGCUUUUUCCUUGGGAUUUGUUUAGUUAAAAGUUAGCCAUUGCAACUUCGUGUACUUCGUUUGUGUCCAACGACCAGACCAAGACCGCUUACGGAUCCCCACCUUUAUCAAUACUUCAUAUAUACUCGCAAUAUUCGGAUUGCUUUUAUCAUAUUCUUGCUUGUUCUUCGAUUGCUUGCAGGAAUAGACCUUCGUGGUCAGGUUGAUUGUGCUCCGGCGUGGUCAAUAACCUCUCGGAGUUGGUUUAGCGAUUGCUAAGGCACAACGUCGUGCACGUUUGUAGUCGGAUCGUCAAAGUCAUCUCCACCAAAUUGAUAGUUAUCAUCUCAUCGAAAGAUCGGGACACCUCGCCUCUAUCAGGUACUGAUCUUCCAUCUCUACAUGAGAAUGAUGAAUGCCUUGUCAAUUUGAAUGCACCAUCUGAUGAGCUACCCACUACUUUGAUCACACCACCUAUUUUAGAGGACUACGUUGAUAAUUUGACUUUGCCAUGUGAUCAAACAACUGAAAUACCAACAAUUUUGAGUGCACCCAUUGAAUUAACUAUUGAUGCAAAAGAACCAAUGUUUAAUCAUUUUGAUAUGACCUGUAAUCUUGGUGAUGAUUCUGUGUUGAAUGACUUAUUGCAUGUUUGCUUAUUUAAGCAUGUUGUAGCAUGUAAAUUUGAUGCAAGUAAGGUUUAUUCACCAAUGUUGGGAUGGUUUAAUGAUGAACAUUGUCAAUCUUUUGAAAUGAAUAAGAGCUUCACUUAUAUGUGCAAACUGAGUUGCAAUAUUUUCAUGCCUUCUACUUCUUGUGCUAAUUUUUUGGCUUUAGAUUUUAUGAACUAUGCAAGUUACUCAUCUAUUCAUGUGUCAUAUAUGCAAAAAUCAAGGGAAGUAAAAAUGGAUGACAUAUACAUAUACAACAUGUACACCUUGUCUCUUUUGUUAGCCACAUUUCAGAUUAAGCAACGCCGAGGACGGCUUUAUUUUCAAGGAGGGGAGGAUGAUGAGGACAUGACUACCUUGCAUAUGACCAAAAAUAUUGCAUAUAUGCAUAUUUGUCAGGUGAUUUCUAGUGCAAACUAUUCAAUAAUCUAUUUAUGUUAUCCAGAACAAAAAUACUUCACACACUUUUGUGUUUUGUCUAAUUGCAGGUGUAUGGGACAUUUGUACAAUCCACAUAUGAAGAUAAGGAAGAAAGAGAUGUUUAUUUGCUGUCCAAAAAGUUCUCUCACGUCACUUUUGGCCCAAGAGAAGAUAGAGUCCAAGUCUCUCACGUUCUGGAUUCAGAUUCGGACUGCACAGACACACCUGACUCAAAACGCACACAAGUUUUUAAUACGGACUCCGAAUUGGGUGAUUCUUUUUUGUUGGAAACUAGAUUUCGUGCACUUUCCAACCCAAUUGGAAUCACCUUCAAAUUCGUCCAGAGCGUUGAGUUGUGGACGAAACAAUCUGAUGCUGCAGCAGAAUCCGAGUCAAACUACAAGUCCAAAGGUGUUACAUCACCUCCACUUGGGCCCAUUGGCCUUGUACGACCUAGAUUUAGUUUUAGGCUGCCUUGGGACGUCCUCCCACCUCCUUGGCCGCCACCCCUUGCUCCUAUAUAAGUAGAUCCAUCUAGUAGUUUUUCCUUGGGAUUUGUUUAGUUAAAAGUUAGCCAUUGCAACUUCGUGUACUUCGUUUGUGUCCAACGACCAGACCAAGACCGCUUCCGGAUCCCCACCAUUAUCAAUACUUCAUAUAUAUUCGCAAUAUUCAGAUUGCUUUAUCAUAUUCUUGCUCGUUCUUCGAUUGCUUGCAGGAAUAGACCUUCGUGGUCAGGUUGAUCGUGCUCCAGCGUGGUCAAUAACCUCUCGGAGUUGGUUUAGCGAUUGCUAAGGCGCAACGUCGUGCACGUUUGUAGUCGGAUCGUCAAAGUCGUCUCCACCAAAUCGAUAGUUAUCAUCUCAUCGAAAGACCGGGACACCCUCGCCUCUAUCAGGUACCAUGGUUCUUUGAUAUGUUAUUACUGCGAGCCAGCCAGCUGUCUUCUCCCGCACAAAAGCGGGUCAGGAGCGUCGUGAGAGCUGCCAUAGAUUUCGGCUUUUCCUGACCAAGGUGCCGGGCUAGCCACUCGUCUCGGAUGUUGUGUUUGAAAGCCGCUAAGGCCUCCGCAUCCGGACAGUCGACGAUUUGAUUUUUCUUUGUAAGGAACCGAGUCCAGAAUUGCCUGGCCGACUCCUCUGGCUGCUGAAUUAUGUGGCUCAAGUCAUCGGCGUCUGGUGGUCGCACAUAAGUGCCCUGAAAGUUGUCGAGGAAUGCGGCUUCCAGAUCUUCCCAACAGCUAAUGGAGUCCGCUGGCAAGCUGUUAAGCCAAUGCCGCACUGGUCCUUUGAGCUUUAGUGGGAGGUAUUUGAUGGCGUGCAAGUCAUCACCGCAGGUCAUGUGGAUGUGGAGGAAGAAAUCCUCAAUCCAUACUGCGGGAUCUGUUGUGCCGUCGCAUGAUUCAAAUAUUUACAGGUUUGAAACCUUCUGGGAAUUGAUGUUCCAUUACUUCGUCUGUGAAGCAUAAGGGGUGUGUGGCGCCUCUGUAUUGGGCUAUAUCGCGACGCAGCUCGAAUGGGUCUUGCCCGCUGUGUUCGGCCCGGCCGGAUUUGCUUUUACUGUAUCCGGCAUGACGUUUAUCGUCUCGCAGAGUGGUGCGCCGUUGUGAUCCGUAGAUCGAUCUUGCAUGCUUUGCUUUGUCCUCCAAUAUGUCUCGCAGGUCUGGCGUAUCUCCCCAUGCCUUUUUAUUUGAAUGGCGUCGGGGUGGAGGCUGAGCUUUUGACUGGAAUACCUCUCUAUCGCGGCCACGAGGUGGCCGAUCAGCCGUAUCAUACGCUUCUUCCUCCAGUCGGGGUAGUAACCUGCACUUUGGGUAAUUCUUGGAGGGGCGCUCGAGUUUAUAUUCCUCGGCCGCGAGGACUUCAGUCCAUCUGUCAGCUAGCAGAUCUUGAUCAGCUUGAAGCUGCUGCUGCUUUUUCUCCAGGCUAUUUGCCGUGGCCAUAAGCCAGCGCUUGAAGCGCUCUUGUUCGACGGGAUCCUCUGGUACGGCGAAUUCACCGUCGCCGAGGCUUGCCUCAUCUUCGGAGGGGGCAUGUAAUUGUCAUCCUCCUCCUCUCCGCCUGCCGCUCUCUUAGGAGAGUUGGCUCUGUCAUCCUCCUACUCUAAAUCUUGCUGGAGGGGAUUGUUGUUGUCUUCGGCACUAUCCGGAGUGUUAUUAUCUCCUGUGUCGGUAUCACCACUUUUGCUUGGGCGGGACUUAGAGCGGCGCCACUGACGUCGGCGCUUGGGUUGCUUCUUGGAGGGGUCAUCCUCCGCUAUCUCGUCGCCAUUGCCUUCGUUGGGUGUAUCCACUAUGUAUAUGUCAUAUGACGAGGUGGCUUUCCAGUGCCCUAUAGGCGCUGGUUCAUGUUCGUUUCCUACAUCGUCCUCCAUACCGUCAACGUCAUCGGAGUCGAAGUCGAGCAUGUCGGUUAAAUCAUCGACAGUGGCUACUAAGUGGGUGGUGGGUGGGCGUCGAAUUUCUUCGUCAUCCGCACCCCAAUCCCGUUGGCCAUAGUCUGACCAGGGCUCUCCUGACAAAGAAAGAGACCUUAGUGAAUUCAGAAUGUCGCCGAAGGGCGAGUGCUGAAAGAUAUACGCGGUGGUGAAUUCCAUGAUUGGCGCCCAAUCGGAUUCGAUUGGCAGGGGCGCGGAUGGUUCGGAGUCCGGAAAAGAGUUCGGCACCUUGGAGUCACGGGCUGCGCAGAGGGUUAGGCUGGUGUUCGGCUCGAUCGCCGUUGAGACUGCAGCCCUUGAGGCGGUGUCUAACCAUCCGUCCUCGAUUGGCGCAGUUGGCUCCGAGCUAAGGGUCGGAGCUGAUGCGGGCGCGGCCUCUGGGGGGCGUAUACUUCAAGGCAUAUUCAAACAAUCGGCAUGUUUAUCCCUAGAUGUAGCCAACAUACUUGUAACCCUAGAUAGCCCCGGGUGCCUAUAUAAGUCGAGGGGUUUAGCCUGUAGAGGCAUGCUAGAACAUGUUAGAACUCACUCAUACGAUCUCGAGGUACAUCAUCUUGUACUUUGUAUCCCAUCCACAAUCAAUACAAUACAAUUAGGACAUAGGGUUUCACCUCUUCGAGAGGGCCCAAACCUAGGUAAACAUUGUGUUUUUCUCUACCUCCUGUUACCAUUUGGCCGAGACCACCAGCUCGGGACCCCCUACCAAGAUUCACCGGUUUUAGCACCGACAACUGGUUUGAUCACUGCUAGGGCUUGUGCAGUGGCCUUUAGUGGUUGAAAGCUUAAAAUUAUCUAAAGAAACAAAGUAAAAAAGGAUCAAUAUAUGAAGAAAUGAUGUAAAAAGGAUCAGUAUCUCAUCUCAACUGAAUUAUUCUUCAUAGGCUAGCUAAUCACAAAAUCAUCACUCUCUACGAUGAGCAGUGCCGAUGGCCCGUCGAGGAGUAGCGACUCUAGUGACAUCGGCAUGUUGUUUGGGUUGUCGGUGUAGCCCUGUGAGUUGGUCAGGUCCUCACUAGCGAGACCUGCCAUGUUUGUCGGGCGGUCGUCACGGAUUGGGGCAAGGCAGUGGCACUGUCGACAGGCAGCGAUGAUGGAUGCUCGUCAUUGCUUUGCUUGCUCCGGUGCAACUCGAGCACAUUAUGAUGGGAAUUGGCAUUCUUUGAUGGUACAAACAUGGGGCUCGCCAUGGGAUGAUACUCUAGAAGCAGCUUCCCCUACCUGUACCGCAUGUCGCACACGUUGCAUAGUGUGCCUCACUCCUUUGGCACCUCCCCCACCCUAGCAUCUCUAACGGCCCAUAGUGCAUGUAGCUCUUCCCAUUAUUUGUCGGCCAUGGCGCCGAAGGGGAUUCGCUUAUUGGACGCUUCCUCUCUUAUUUGAAAGCUUUCUCGGCGGGUGCACAGAUGGAGGUGUCUCAGGCUCCCAGAUGGGACUCUCCAGUGUGGAGUUGAUGCUUGGGCGCUCCCGCAGGAAUCCGUCACUGACCACCCUGCUGGACGGCACUCCUGUAGCAGCAUCCCCUUCUUGUACCACAUUCCACAGGCGGUGCAGACCUCCCUCCGCCCCAGCAACCCUUUUAUCCACAAAGGUGGCUCCACGACUCACAGUGCAAGCAGCUCGUCCCCGGGACUGGCGCUAGAGAAACUUCUGUCCUGGGAAGCCUCCUCUCCGUGGCCGACUUUCUAACGAGGUAAAUAGCCCUAUGCACCUUGGGCUCCCACAUCGGGCUCUCCAGUGGCGAAUCGACGAUUGGGCUUGCUACCGGAUGGUGCUCCAGUAGCGUCUCAGUCUUACUGUAACAGACCCCGUAGGCAUUACAGAGGAUACCCCGCCCCAUCGACCCUGACCUUCGUUGCAACAUCUCCGCCGCCUUGUAGUGUAGGCACCUCCUCAACCUCUUAGGCGGCUUAUCGAUCAUGCUUGGAUCGAUAAGCAAGGCCACCUGCACACGCUGAGGCGGGAGAACCUUCUCCUCUCUUCUUCCGCGGGGUGGGGCCCUAACCCACGUCCACACGUCAUGUUAACUAUGGGGAACGAAGAUGCCAUGUGGACUUGUGGAUGGGAUUGGGUUGUGAUGAUAGAGGUAGGCCAGAUCGUGAGCCCAAAUCGAGCACGAGAAUUCUUUGCAGCUAAGAAUGACUACAUGGGAACAUUAUCUGACAUGCUUGCAUCACGGAUAAGGCAAGAUACUUGUCGAGAGCUGAGAUGGCCCUGGACACCUCAGAUUUAAUUUGAUAAGCCAUGCUUGCCUUCGAAAGGAAGAUUCAUUGAACCUGUUUGAAGACUGGCGACCCAAGAAGAAGAAUAGUUUAGAUGGACUGAAGUGCAUCUAGACUUGAAGACCAGUCCGGGGCCUACUGGCGGUGCCCGGCUGGGGGGUCUCUCAAUACGCCAUAUCCCGAUCUGUCGGGCCGGGCCGAGGACCCCUAUGUCGUUCCACUAGUGGGCCAUGACGAAAACGACCCAUGGCGUAUGAAGGGAAGGCUCCUGAAGACUUGUCGUGUACUCCAAGAUGUUGGAGGUCAUCCACAACUCAUCCUCUUUGUACAUAGCUAGCUUAGAUGCAACCCUAAACCCUCUGGUACCUAUAUAAACCAAGGGGCAAGGCUCGCAAAGGACACGCAACGCGCCCGCGGUAGAUCAUAUGUACUUUGUACUCCACCCAAAACCAAUAAAACACAAGCAGGGCGCAUGUUUUAUCUCUCUGGAGAGCCCGAACCUGGGUGAAAACUUGUGUCCUUGUGACCAUCAUCUCAAGAGCCUUAGUUCGGGGGCCCCUAAGCGAGAUGUGUCGGAUUUGACUCCAUCACUACCCGCCCCCAGCAGCCACCCAGCGCCGAAGGAUGCUCCUCGCAGCAGCCCCUGCCAAGGGUUGUUGGUGGUGGGGCUGCUCCUCGCCACCAGUAUCUCCUCCCCCGCGAGUCGCAAGCCCCACCGCCGACUGGUGGUGGUGGGGCUGCUCCUCGCCGCCAAUUUCUCCUCCCGUCAGGCCGCACUCCUGUCAACGGUUGUUGGUGGUGGGUUGCUCCUCGCCACCGAUUUCUCCUCACUAUCGGUGAAGGGAAUGAAUAAGGAAGGGAGGGGAAAUAGGAUGGGUCGUGCUUAAUGAGUGGGUCGCUUUCACGCAAGGAUGUUUCUUAACAAACGGACUGAUUGUAUGACAUGGCAACACUGCCCACAUUAAGAUUCGUGUUCAGAUGAUAGCCGAAGCGUCACGUCAGGAGAUUAAAAAUGUAACGUUAGAUUUAUAGUGUUUUCGAAAAUCGAUGCAGAAACCAGUUCCCGGGCUGCAAGAUUUAAAGAAGAUCCCACUCUAUUUGCGCAGAGGAUCAAAGAGGCUCAUAAACCUUUCCUCUUCACCUUUGUAGCUUCACUCCCUUAGAACUUCUAGCUUUCUGUUAGCUCUAUCUUUUGAGUUUAUUUCUUUUUUUUGAGCAUCAGUACAGACACAAGCGCUCAUAUACACGCGCAUACACUCGCCUCUAUGAACGCACACACGCACACCCUACCCUUAUGAGCACCUCCGAAAGACUGAGCCGACACAUCAUCUUGAGAUUUACGAAGUCAUCGUAGGCGUCUUGUCGUCGACGGGAACGUCUCCUCCCACUAAAAGCGCAUCGCCGGAAAUCCUGAAAUAAAUGCAGGAAUAAUGCGAGCACCAGGAUUUGAACCCUAGUGGGUUGGGAAUAUCACUGUCCAUCUAACCAUCUCAACCACAGGUUGAUUCGCUCUUUUGAGUUUAUUUCGCAACAUACCCAAAGUGGUAUGCCUUGCCUUGUAAAAAUGUACAGUGUGGACACGUUGCAAUGCAGGUAAGCAAAUGGCGGUGGAUGUAUGGUUGGUUGCGGCGUGCGUGCGCAGGCGCGUCUUUUGCUGCAGUCGGAAAAUAUUCACUCGUAGCGUGGCCGAGCAUCCGACUCUAGACACUACUAGGUUGUCCGGUCACAGAAGCUGGCAGUCACGCCCCCGGGCAGAUCGUCCUUUGUCUGUCAUCCUGUCAUCUGCUGCCGCCGCACGGUCGCAGCCGCCGUCCAUGGCGACGGCGGAGGAAGGCGAGGGAGGAGAGGUACAAGUAUCGGCUUAUCUUUCUUCACCUUCGGUGGGUGGGCGGGUCGAUCUACAUCUUUAACACGGUGACCUAAAGAUAGUAUUUUUUUUGCUGAGCAGCCACCAGGAUUAGGGAGGGGGAGGUGUCCAAGAUUCCGGCGAUCUGAGGCGACCCGCGGCAUGGCCGGAGGCGGCGGCGUUGGGGGGAAGGAGGAUGGCGGCACGGAGCCCCUACUCCUGUCCGUCCUCGCUCUCCCCGCAACGGCGCUCCCCGCCGUCGUCUCCCGCCUGGAGGCCGCCGUCCCGCGGAAGGCGCGCAGCUACCUCCCCCGCAACGUCCCGUCGGCCUGGUGGUCACUCAGGAUCCCCUUCAUCCAGCCGCUGCCGCCGGCUGGGGACCCGGCAAACGAAGAGGAGGGGAGAAGGUUCCCCCGCACCCAGCGCGUGCAGGUGGCUCCGUCUCUCGAUCCAGGCACGGCCGAUAAGCCGCCCAAGAGAUUGAAGAGGUGCCUGCACUGCAAGGCGGUGGAGACGCCGCAGCGGAGGUCAGGGCCGAUGGGGCGGGGUACCCUCUGCAACGCCUGCGGAGUCUGGUACAGUAAGAACGGGACACUGCCGGAGCACCGUCCGGUGGCAAGCCCAAUCGUCGAUUCGCCGCUGGAGAGCCCGAUCUGGGAGCCCGAGGUGCCUGGGGCCAUCUACCUGGUCAGAAAGUCGGCCACGGAGAGGAUGCCUCCCAGGACAGAAGCUGCGCCAGCGCCACGGCCGGGGACGAGCUGCUUGCACUGCGGGUCCUCGGAUCCACCUUUGUGGAUAGAAGGAUUGAUGGGGCGGAGGGAGGUCUGCACCGCCUGCGGCAUGCGGUACAAGAAGGGGAGGUUGCUGCCGGAGUGCCGUCCAGCAGAGUGCUCAGUGACGGAUUCCCAGCAGGAGAGCCCAGUCAUCAACUCCCCGCCAGAGAGUCCCAUCUGGGAGCCUGAGGCGCCUCCGUCCGUGCACCUGCCAAGAAAGCCUUCAAAGAAGAAGAAGAGGAGGCGGUCUAGAAGCGAAGCCCCUUCGGCGCCAUGGCCGGCGAAUAAGGGGAAGAGGUGCCAGCACUGUGGGUCGUCAGAGACGCCACAGUGGAGGGAGGGGCCAAAGGGGCGAGCCACGCUGUGCAACGCGUGCGGCGUGCGGUACAGGCAGGGAAGGCUACUGCCGGAGUACCGGCCCGUGGCGAGCCCUACAUUUGUGCCAACAAAGCAUGCCAAUACCCACCGCAAGGUGCUCCAGUUGCAUCGAACCAGGCAAAGCAACGACGAGCAUCCAUCACCGUUGCCUGCCGACAGCGUCACCAACCUGCCCCCAAUCCGCAACGAGCUCCCGACCACCAGCACGGCAGGUCUCGCCAGUGAGGACCCGACCGAUGCACCGGGCUACACCGACAACCCAAUCAAUGUGCCGAGCUCACUGGACUCGCUGCUGCUCGACGGGCCGUCGGCGCCGCUCAUCGUAGAGAGUGAAGAUUUUGCGAUUAGCUAGCCUAUAAAGAAUAAUUCAGCUGAGAUGAGAUACUGAUCCUUUUUACUUCGUUUGUUCAGAUACUGAUGCUUGGAAAUUUUAAGCUUUCAAUCACUGAAGGCCAUUGCACAGGCCCUAGCAGUGAUCAAACUAGUUCUGUGAAUUCAACCAUUUAGGUGGAGGAUUUUCGAGUUCCGUUUCUGGUAAAUUUUUUCCCUUUUUCUUUUCAUGACUCCAAUGGAAAAUUAGUGGGCAUGAACCAGCUUAUGGGAUGUGCAUUGAGAAGACAGAUAUGCAUAGUUUGGCAGAAGCAUCAGAUAUUUGGCAAGAUGGUUGCGUAGCUUGUUAACCUAGAUUGCUCAAACCUCCCAUUUCUGAAGCUCCAGAUUGGGCAAGAUGAUGCUUGUGCUUUAUGAUGCUGCUUUCGGCCAUACACACCAAAGGCACAAACAUGUCACCCGCCUUUUACAUUCUGCAUGCUUCCUAAGAUUUGCAAGCUGCUGCUCUCCCUGAAGUUUUUCUUUCAGUUUUGCUAAAGCACAUCUAGAUGUGCCAUAAGUAUUGCACAUCUAAGUCAUAUGUCAUUGAUCUUACAUUGAGAUUCGUGUAAAUAUUUUCUUUCUCUUUUUUCUUUUUCUCUUUAUACUUGAUUCACUCACUUAGAUGUGCAAUAACUAGAGCACAUCUAGAUAUGCCCUAGACACACCCUUUUUCUUUUGGCACAAAUGCACAUCCAUAGGGGGGGACAUGAGAGUUGCAGUAGACUGAGAAAUUCCUGUGACGAUGUGUUUGACGCAAUCCUUUAAGGUGGAGAUGGACCUAAUCUGGGUUAAUCUGUCAUUCCGAAUCUGCAUCAGCCAAAAAUGUUUGUGGAUUUAUUUGUUUUUCAAGUUUAUCGUGGCCACAGAUGUGUGAAGGCAUCGUGGUUUUGUUUGGUUUCCAAUUUCUAGCAGCCAAAUGUGUUUUGGGGGAGCAUUGUGGCUUUCUUUUUAUAUCAGGGCGUGUUAUAGGUUUGAUUCUUGAGCUGCAGAACUGGGUGUUUCAUGCAUUGCGGAUUAAAGAAUGGACUUGGCCUUGGCACCCCCUCGACACCGUUGAUGUCGAAGACGAUCACCUUGAAGCUAUCGGGACUCAGCACCUUGUAGGUGACGUGGUACUGAUCUUCAGCUGGUGAGCUACGACGAGGGGGGCCAUCCUUCAAGGGUGAUCCUGCCGUUGACCACCUGGACCGUGAUUCUCUCGGCAUAUAGCCCGUGUUCAUCCUCAGAACGAGUUCUGGUGCGAUGGUGGUAUGUGCUUGAUGAAGUCAGUGGGCAUCGACAGGUACUCGAACAUAGGUGCAAGAAUGAUCUUGCAGAAGUGACUUGGGCCUGAGUUGUAAUGGAAAUGGUCGUAACUGCGGGGCCUCUUGGGGGCCUUGCCGUCAACCUCCGCCUUGCCGUUCCAGCAGUUGGCUGAGGCUACCUCCUUGUCCGAAGCAGCACUGCCGAGGAUAAGCUUCUCGGCAGAGCACUUCAUUGAACUCCGGCAAAAAAAAAAAAGCACUUCAUUGAACACAAAUGAACAAGAUUAACAUAGCUACCAUGCUAGCAGAUCAAAUAAGNNNNNNNNNNNNNNNNNNNNNNNNNNNNNNNNNNNNNNNNNNNNNNNNNNNNNNNNNNNNNNNNNNNNNNNNNNNNNNNNNNNNNNNNNNNNNNNNNNNNNNNNNNNNNNNNNNNNNNNNNNNNNNNNNNNNNNNNNNNNNNNNNNNNNNNNNNNNNNNNNNNNNNNNNNNNNNNNNNNNNNNNNNNNNNNNNNNNNNNNNNNNNNNNNNNNNNNNNNNNNNNNNNNNNNNNNNNNNNNNNNNNNNNNNNNNNNNNNNNNNNNNNNNNNNNNNNNNNNNNNNNNNNNNNNNNNNNNNNNNNNNNNNNNNNNNNNNNNNNNNNNNNNNNNNNNNNNNNNNNNNNNNNNNNNNNNNNNNNNNNNNNNNACUUCAACUUCGAAAAACCCUAUUUAUCUAUCACCGCAUUCCACUUCAUCUUCCACCCAUCUCUAUCUUGCUCUUCUACUACCUCCUCUUCCACAGCUCUCUCUCUACCUCUCUCUUUCUUACCACCGCUCGAUCACCAUGAACCCCUUCCCCACUGGCCAUGGAUAGACGGCAAUGCUCCUUGAGUGCUCAAGUGGCGACUACCUGGAGUUUGUGAAGAUGAUGGAUGUGUGCUCCCUGUUCAACACCGUGGACGAGAUGAUCAAGGAGGUAGGAGUUGUGCUCUUGCAGGCAACAGAGAUGAAGACGCUGAUGCAUGACCGAGCCAAAGGCGCUAUGUCAAUGAACAUACUGUUCUGGGCAAUGGAGGAGGCCGAGUCGGCCGGUCAGGUCAGAGAACUAGAUGGGCCAAGUAAAGCUCUGUCGUAGCUCCUGCUGACCAGGAGAUCGUUGCGGUGACGCCGCCCACAAUUGUUCUCGAGGAUGACGACGAGGAGGAGAUGGUGGAUGUUGGCAAUGCCGAAGCGGUCGAGAUGGUGGCUUGGGUUACUGAGCCUAGCUGCUCUACAAUGCCGUUGGAGGUCAAUGACUACCAGCGUCAAAGCUACUGUCGCUCGAGGCGCCUCCAGGCCCGUCGCGCAUAGUCAAAAUCAAGGGAUUUAAGGGGAUUGUCAUUGAUUUAACCUCAUUUUACUCCAAAUCCUUCCCGAUCCCCUUGUGCGGACUAAUCGAGCAAGCCCCAGAUCAAUGACUAGAUCUCUCUCUCUCUGUGUGUGUGUGUGUGUGUGUGUGUUUAACCGAUGUCUAAAUUGAUUUUUCUCCAUUUAGUCUAUGCUUAAAUGGAACUCUCUCUAUUUAGUCGAUGGGUAAUUAGAUGCCUACACUGAUCCCUGCGAAGGCAUGGAGAGAUGGCUUACCACCAUUGACGAAAGCGUGGCGGAGAGAUGAUGAAUCGGUGAUGAAGAUAGUGCUAGUCAAAAUCAAGUGAUUUAAGGAGAUUGUCAUUGAUUUAACCCCCUUUUAGUCAAAAUCCUUCUCAACCCCCUUGUGCGGAACUAACCGAACAAGCGCUAAAUCGAUUACUAAAUCGAUCUCGCUCGGUUUAAUCGAUGCCUAAAUCGCUCGAAUUAAUCGAUGCUUAAAUUGAUCUUUCUCCAUUUAAUCGAUGCCUACAUCUAUCUCUCUCCGAUUAAUCGAUGCGUGUAGUUUAAUCGAUGGGUAAAUCGAUGCCUAGAUUGAUUCCUGUGAAGGCAUGGAGAGAUGGCUUACAGCCAUUGACGAAGGCGUGGCAAAGAGGUGCUGAAUCGGUGAUGAAGGCGGUGCUAGUCAAAAUCGAGGGAUUUAAGGGGAUUGUCAUUGAUUUAAUCUCCUUCUAGUCAAAAUUCUUCCCAACCCCUUGUGCGGACUAAUCAAACAAGCCCUAAAUCGAUCUCAAUAUGUUUAAUCGAUGCCUGAAUCAAUCUCUCUCCACUUAUCUGAUGCCUAAAUCAAUCUCUCUCCGCUUAAUCGAUGCCUAAAUCGAUCUCUCUCCGUUUAAUUGAUGUGUGAAGUUUAAUCGAUGGGUAUAUCGAUGCCUACAUUGAUCCCUACGAAUGCGUGGAGAGAUGGCUUACCACCAUUGAUGAAGGUGUGGCGGAGAAGUGAUGAAGCUGGUGUUCGCCAUGCAGAUCUUGCCUCCUACGAUGGUCACCGCCGUCGGUGAGAGUGUGGAGAGAGGGGGAGGGGAGUGGGAGGUGAGAGGAUUUAUGGCCGCAUCGGGCAACAACGCGACGUCUCUCGUGUGACCCUGCGCGUCUAGCCGCCGUCGGUGAGAGAAU
This 45055-nucleotide long non-coding RNA is filed under the name Triticum aestivum (bread wheat). RNAcentral's name for it is "long non-coding RNA (TAES_LNC005417)". Lineage: Eukaryota; Viridiplantae; Streptophyta; Magnoliopsida; Poales; Poaceae. The record is from RNAcentral.